This 60052-nucleotide long non-coding RNA is filed under the name Triticum aestivum (bread wheat). RNAcentral describes it as "long non-coding RNA (TAES_LNC026971)". Lineage: Eukaryota; Viridiplantae; Streptophyta; Magnoliopsida; Poales; Poaceae. The record is from RNAcentral.
GCGUCACACUGCAACACUACUUCCGAAUGUGUGCGAGAUAUUUUUUUCUGUUAUCAAAUAAUAUGGCCACUUUGAAAAGUAACUUAACUUCUACCAGAGGAUGACAAGCUCAAGUUUUUUUUAGUUUUUUUUUUUUUUUUGCAUGGAGCUCAAGGUUAAUUGCUGAAAGAGGAACAUGAAGCGGAUGUAAAAAGAACUCCAGGUUUGCCUACACCACUUGUAUUAGCACUUUCAACAGAGAUAAGAUACAAAGGUGUUUAAUUGUUCGAUUUUGGUGCAUCCACCUUAAAGAUUGAAUGAACUUCUGUAUGUGACUGAUAGAAAAGAAAGCCGUUAAUUUGUUCCACUUGCUGGUUUUCUGAAGACAAAAAUUAAAAUGUCAUGGAACUGCACGAUUAUUUCAAAGGUCAGCAAUGAAUUGCUCGACAUUAUACAGUAUAAAACAGGAGAAAGGCGGUCAGUGAGCUUCCUCCAGCAGAAGACAGAAAUGGGAGAGGGGAGGAGAUUGGUUGUUGCCGCCACAGGAAGGGGAAUCAGUUGGGAGAUCACUGGGCUAGCGGGAGAACACGCAGCCAGUUAAGGUACAGGUGAACGCGGCCCAGGUGGUGCAGAGCGUGCUCGUGCUCACCUAGGACUUGGCCCGUUGAUUUGACGAUUGGGAGGCAAAUCUUGGAGAUGGAACAACGAAGAUGCCCAGCUCCAGCGCAGCGGGGAGGUGAUUGCAUUCUUGCGAUGGAGAGCUGUAGGAAAGUUUGUGGACAGGGAAACAACGGAGAGGGCGCAUGGGAAUACGCCGACCGGGGUUGAGGGGGAGGGUAGGACUAGUUCAAGAACCUUCACCGCAGCAGUAAUGCAAGGAGCCGAGCAAGCAGCGAAAAGGAGCUGGGAUGCGUUCAUUUCAGACUGAACCACUUAUGCUUGUGUUCAUCCCAACCCUUCGUGCUAGAUCGAAUGGCUGACAUAAAACUGCCGUACUGCUCAUUCCAUCGCAACAUCAACAGUCAUUCAAAGAAUGACCAAAAAUAACACAAUCUACAACAUCCCGCUAGUUCAAUUCUAGGUUGUGCCGACUCCACCCAUUGCAAAUGGUGAAACGCUCGGUUACUUUCACACAGUAUAAAAUAAAAUAAAAUACAAGACAUGACAACAGCACAGUGUAACAGUCAUGUCUAAUUAUUUGACGAACUUGUGUCAAGCAGUGAUUAUGGAGAAAACCCUAAGAUGUACAUUACCCAGCAAGUCAUCAUCAAGGAAAUGCUUUUUAAAUCAAACUCUAGCCUGCGUCAAAUUGCCCACAUUCUAUCACAAACUUGAAUUCACGUCAAAUUGCCCACAUUUUAUCAGUAGCUUGCAAGAAUGUGGCAAGCCAACGACAGAAAAACUAACGGGGUGUUUCUGUUGGUAAAGCAGAGAACUGACAGAAAAACUGUAUCAGGGGAUGCUUCUGUUGGUAAAGCAGAAAACUGACUAUGGACAAAAUUCAUGUUACCAUGAAUAUGUGACGACCUCAAGAAGGAUCACGAUGAUGGAAAAGAACGAACUAAAAUUUGCUUCAGGGCCAGUAGAAUGAUUCUAUCAGUAGUUCUUGUAGAGACAUCACAAGACACAUUCACUGUAGAACAUUUCAGCAGAAAGGGCCCUCAGUAGAGCAGCGCAUACUAACAGCACACAGACACACCAGAACAAACAAAGCAACACCUGAACCUGUUCCUUUGAAUGAACUUAAAUCAGAUCACAGAAAUUGAAGGACAGAUUAAAUAAACAAAUAUUCCUGUGGUUAUAAAGUUAUUUAUGAUGAUCCUGUAAUUUCUAGCUAAAACUAAUGAAAACCGAUCAUGUAAGCAGGAAACACAGGAUCCUGAUUGCUAUUAGAAACAAAGAUGGCGAAUUGCAGCUGCCUAUGAAAACAAGAUGAAUCAUCCACUGGGCAAUAGCUUCCACUAGCUUACCAUUUCCAUUACGCAUGUUUAUCUAUGGAUGGCAAAAACUACUCUGUGCCAUCUACUUUAAAUUACUAGCACAUAUUCAUCACAAAACAGCACCUACGGUAAUGAACUAACACACCUAACCUGAGAGCUAACGGAUGGUGAGCGAAACUUCUAUAGGUGCACACAGAUAACCAUAAUAACAACAUUAAUCAGAUCUAAACGAGAAACAAAGAACCAGAUAUUAAACAUAUAAUGAAGUCUUCAUAUCAAAAUCCAAGGCAGACCCAUGAUAGAUGCACAUAAAGGUUCCAAACACUCAUCCAGGGACAUCUUACGAAUGAUAAAGUAGCAGUGCAUAUCCUAACAGAACAGGCGGUGGUAAUAAAACUAGGAUAUCAAGAGCAGUAUGGCAACCGGCAGAUCCCAAAGCUUAAUCGAUCUCCUGGAGCGAGGCACCGGCGGCCGUGGCGCCUCCAGCGGCGGCGGCGACGUCCUCCGCCGUGAACUUGCCCUUGGCCUUGUCAGCAGCGCGGCCGCGAGCCUUGCGGUCGAGGAGCGCCUUGCGGUCCUUGUCGAGCUUGAGCUUGGUGACGAUCACCUUGCUGGGGUGGAUGCCGACGUUCACCGUGGAUCCAUUGACCUUCUCCCUGGUGAUCCGCUCCACGUGGAUGACCCAGCGGCGGCGGUACACCUGCACCACCUUUCCCUCGCGGCCCUUGUAGGUGCCGCGCACGACCUGCACCUCGUCAUCCUUGCGGAUGGGGAUCGAGCGCACAUUGUAUUUGUGCCUGAGCUCGGAGGAGAGGGCCGCGGACAUGAGCACGCGGCGGACGGAGGACGGCGCCGUGAAGUGCGCCUUGCGGCACUUCCGGCGGGAGCUCGUGACGCGGGGGUUGCGCUUCAUGGCGGCGGCGGGGGGUAGGCUCUCUCCCUUACCUGGGGCGACGGCGGCUAGGGUUCUGGGGCGGGAGGAGUGUGUGGAGGCGGCGGGCUGUUGCGGUGGGAGGGGAAUAUAUAGGUGGCAUGCUACUAGGGUUUUAUCUGCGCUCCGUCGCGUGGGCGCGCCAAGGCGUUCGAUGGGGACUGGACGGCGUGGAUUCGUUCGGCGGAAUGGGUGGCUGGGCUAGCUGGGCCGAUGUUACUUGUUUCUCUGGACUAAUUUGAGUACCGCUCUGGGCUUAGAAAACAAGAAGGUCCGACCGAAUGCUGAUCUGCUGGCCCGUGUAAACACUAAAGCCUAGUCGGCUGCGUCGAGGAAAACCGUGAUGUCUCUCUAGCCAAGGCGGGGCUUCCUUUUAUUUUAGCUCCUGCUUUCACAUAUUGUAAUUACUAGCAAACAUGCCCAUACGCUGUAAUGGAAAAAAAAACUUACCUCUCAUACACACUCUCGAGACAUCAAUAAAUCUCUUGGAAUCUUGCACGAUGCCACAUGAAAAACAACAUGAUAAAUAUGAUAAGUGGUGUUGCGCAAAAACAUAGAGAUGUGAUAAUUUUCCAAGUAUACUCAAGGUAUUCCAAUUUAUUAGACAAUAAAAAUAUCUACCUAGCUGCAGGUAUCUCUUUCCGCAUUUGUUGUCGUUCCUCAUCGGUGACGCCCAACAAAUAUUUGCAUUACGAAGAAAAUAGCGAAGUACGUUUUAUUAAUUAAUGAUAGCAUAUGCAUAAGAGCACUAUUUUUGUCUUGUUGGUAUAUGUGUUUGCAUUUGUAAUCCAAGUGAAGUCUUAAUUUGGUUGCAAACAUAUUAGACAGCUCCAUCAAAAACAAUCAAUUUGUAAGGAUAUGCAUACCAAAUGCAACAUCAUUACGAAAAUAAUUUGAAACAAUAUGAAAAUCAAAGUUAAGCCAUUUGUUUACGUCAAGCUUGUAUCAGCAACAUUGUAUAUUUUUUAUACAUCAGAAACAUUUUUUAUAUACAUGUUUAAUAUUUUCCAAUUUCAUGGUCAACCUUUUCCAAAACAUAUUUAGUUUUGGUGUCUACUUUUCAUACACAUUCUACUUUUUUUUAUACAUCAGGAACAUUUUUUAUAUACACGUUUGACAUUGUCUAAAUACAUGAUUAAGGUUUUUGAAAACUUAUAUAUUUUUAUGUCUACUUUGUUACAUACAUAUUAUAUAUUUUUGUAUACAUUUUUCUUGUACAUCGGAAACAUUUUUCUAUGCACAUUUACUAUUUCUUAAAUGCAUGAUAAAAAAAUUCAAUUUUUUUCAUACGCAUUGUACAUUUUUUCUUUAUAACGGAAACUUUUUUCUAUACAAGUUUGACAUUUCUUUAAUGCAUGGUUAACAUUAUUCAAAGUUUGCACAUAAGUGAUUUUUAUAAUUGAAAUAUUUAGAGUAUACCAAAAUAAAACCAAAAGAAAAAACAAAUAUAGCAGAAGUGAAAAAGUAAGAAAAAUAAGUGUUGAAGACCGCGCUGGGCCGGCCCAAUCGGGCAGUUGGCCUACGCCCGUCAGUACUAAGAGAGNNNNNNNNNNNNNNNNNNNNNNNNNNNNNNNNNNNNNNNNNNNNNNNNNNNNNNNNNNNNNNNNNNNNNNNNNNNNNNNNNNNNNNNNNNNNNNNNNNNNNNNNNNNNNNNNNNNNNNNNNNNNNNNNNNNNNNNNNNNNNNNNNNNNNNNNNNNNNNNNNNNNNNNNNNNNNNNNNNNNNNNNNNNNNNNNNNNNNNNNNNNNNNNNNNNNNNNNNNNNNNNNNNNNNNNNNNNNNNAAAGAAACGACCAACUUAUAAAGAAAAAACGAAACAUUUCCCACUUACCGGUGGCAUAGGGGGGUAAUUCAUGCGAACUCUAGAGACAUUUCCACGAGGAUGGCUAGAAGUAGUCCACCCUUUGUUAUUAGGUGGAGAUUGACACUAUUUUUUGCAGGAGGAAGUUCUCAUUUUAUUCAACCUAGAUCACCAUCAUCCAGUGCACCUCCAGGCCUCGUCUCAGCUAUACUGUAGUUUCCAUACACACACACACGACCCAUUCUCGUUAUCUCAUAGCUCACUAGGUUUCUCUCACGUCCGAUAGCUCUAGCCUAAAAAAUCCUCACACCCUCUAGCAUAGAUUUUAUGUCGUUCACUACGCUACCAUUAGGGGAUCGGAUAACAGGGGCAUGCAUGAUCAUGAAAACAUCUUUCGAGCUAUCCGUCUACGGGAUACAAGGUAGUCUACUCCACUACAAUGUGAGGCCAAUGCCUUCCUUGCAGGCUCUCAAUUCAGCAGUUAGGGCAUUGCCACAUGUGAAAAGAGAUGGCGGCAUGAGGAGAAGAUAAUGUGGUUGUCGCUGUCCCGCGGUACCAUGUAAAUGCCACACCAUUGUCAGCCUCCUCCGAGUACGUGUCGUCGAUGUUCAACUUGAGCCAUCCUUCCAAGGGAGGCUCCUAGCAUUUCGGCAGACGAUCUAUUGCGCCCCUCCUUUGUAGCAUGGUUCUGUUCCUAGUCGCAGCCCCGACAUUGGGGUUCUAGAUGACUAGUGUCCUGCGAGUGCACAUGAUUGUUGGAGCACUUUCGUGAUAAGUAAGUGUCAAACCCACAUGAGCUAAUAGGAAGGUACCACAAACCCCGCAACCACGUUGUGACAUAACGCAAUUAUGUAUGCAGCCAAACCGAAGUUUGGAAAAAGCCUAUUCUAGAAGUUGCAACGCCACUGGAUAAAAGGGGUUUACUAAACUAAGAAGGUAAACAAAAAUAAAAGAGACUAAGUUAGUGGUGAUAGUGAUUGAGUAGCGAAGUGUUCUCUAGGACUACGAAGUCGUCACUACAAAUAUGACAUGUGCAUCUAGUGUUGAGCAAACGCUCUUUAUCGUAUCCUCUAUCCACUCUUCAUAUGCAUAAGUGGGCGGUCCCCGGUACAGUACAUGUUCGACUCGAGGUAGACUUCAUGCCACGCAUGCCACCAUCAUAGUCUCCCCCAUAGGGUCACAAUCUAGGAUAAUUAAGGGUUACCCCGUGGACGUGACUAGAUAUGGGUUUACCUGAACUCCCCUAUCAACUUGCAAAGACUAAGGAUUGACGUUUUACUGUCACCUCGAAUUCCCUCAAUGUCCUACCCUAUGCAGUGACAGUAGUUCCUCCAUGGGUGGUUUUGGUAACUAAUAACAACAUAUAUGUCAUUGAACUAAUGCCUAUUCAAAGAUAGAUUUAAGGAAAGUUCAAUAUUGGCAUGGCAUGGAAAGGUGAUUGUGGACCCCUCAAAAUGCUAAGAACAUGGAUUGGCAAAAGCUUCAAGACUACAUUUUUGGUUAAGUGAUCCAAGAUCACACUGAGUCCAUAGGAAAGCCAAUACUAUUAAAAGUGGAUGAGGUUUUGAUCAUGACUCAAUUGCUUAAGUGCUUGAAGAUAUUGCUCCAAAACCCUCAACCAUUUUCUCCAAAUCUUAUUUGUCCAAACCCUAACUUCCAAACUUGGUUCCACCGAAACCUCCACAUCCGGACCCACCAAGUUGAUCCUAGACAGAGACAUAGCCAAACCCUAGCAAAUCGGUGUUGGAAAUAUGCCCUAGAGGCAAUAAUAAAUUGGUUAUUAUCAUAUUUCCCGUUCAUGAUAAAUGUUUGUUAUUCAUGCUAGAAUUGUAUUGACCGAAAACUUGAAUACAUGUGUGUAUACAUAAACUACACCGUGUCCCUAGUAAGCCUCUACCAGACUAGCUCGUUGAUCAAAGAUGGUUAUGGUUCCUAAUCGUAGACAUGAGUUGUCAUUUGAUAAACGGGAUCACAUCAUUAGGAGAAUGAUGUGAUGGUCAAGACCCAAUCAUAAGUUUCAUAAGAUCGUAUCACUUAGUUUUGUUAUAGCUUUCUUCAUGUCAAGUAUCUCUUCCAUCGACCAUGAGAUCAUGCUACUCCCAGAUACCGAAGGAAUGCCUCGUGUGAUAUCAAACAUCACUUUAUAACUGGGUGAUCAUAAAGGUGCUAUACAGGUGUCUCUGAUGGCCUCUGUUGGGAUGCAUGGAUCAAGACUGGGAUUUGUCACUCGGUAUGACAAAGAGAUAUCUCUGGGCCCACUCUAUAAUACAACAUCACAAGAAGCUUCAUAGGACUAAUGAGUUUAGUUACGAGAUCUUGUGUCACAGGAACAAGUAAAUAGAAUUUCCAGUAACGAGAUUAAACUAGGUAUGGAGAUGUCGAUGAUCGAAUCUCGGGCAAUUAACAUAUCGCCGAACAAACAGAAUUGCAUAUGGGAUUACCCGAAUCCUCGACAUCGUGGUUCAACCGAUAAAUAUCUUCGUUGAAUAUGUGGGAACCAAUAUGGUCAUCUAGGUCCCACUAUUGGUUAUUGGCCAGAGAGGAGUCUCAGUCAUAUCUGCAUGAUUCUCGAACCCGUAGGGUUGCAUGCUUAACGUUCGUUGACACUAGAGUAGUAUUUGGGAUAUGUACAAUGGUGACCGAAGAUUGUUUGAAGUCCUGGAUGAGAUCCUGGACGUCACGGGGAGUUCUGAAAUGGUAUGGUGGUAAACAUUUAUAUAUAAGAAGUCAUAUUCAAGGUAUCCGAAAAAAUCGGUGGUAUGCCGACAGUGUACCGGGGGCCACUGAAGGGUUCUGGGUGACCACUAGUGGGUCCCACCACCCCCAAGGGCCACCAUGGGCUGAGGGGUGAUGCCUUGACCUAGAUGGGCAGGUGCACCAGCCCCCUAGAGUCCAUGUGGCUUGGGGGGGAGAGUCCCUGAAGGGGAAUGGAGGAGUCCCAUCUAAUCGCAUGAGAGAGGGACUCCUCCUCCCUGUCCGCACCCCUCCUUGGAGGAGGGGCUAGGGCUGCACCCCUCCCUACCCUUACCCCGACAUAUAAUGGAGGGAGAGGAGGGGAGCUGUACCCUAAACCCUGGCGCAGCCCCUUCCCCUUCCUACCACCAUAUCUCCUCCCGGUACGGCUCGACAAAGACCUGCCAGAGCACCACCACCAUCUCCACCACGCCGUCAUGCUGGUUGAGAUCCCAUGUACUUAUCCCCCUUCUCUUGUUGGAUCAAGGAGGAGGAGACGUCACCGAUCCGCAUGUGUGCUAUACUCGGAGGUGUCGUCCGUUCAGCGCUAGAUCGGUUUGGAUCAUGAUUGAAUCACGAAUAGUACGACUAUAGCGACCGCGUUAUAUAUGCUUCCACUUUCGGUCUACAAUGGUAUGUAGAUACGCUCCCCUCUCGUUGCUUUGCAUCUCCUAGAUUAGAUCUUGGGUGUUUCAUAGGAUCUUUUUUUGAUUUUUCAUGCAAUGUUCCCCAUCAGUGGCAUCAUGAGCUAGGUAUAUGCGUAGAUGUAGAUGCACAAGUAGAACACAAAGUUGGUGUGGGCGUUGGUGUUCAGAUUGCUUACUUCCCUCGUCUUAUCUGGAUUCGGCGAUAUUGUGGGAUGAAGCGGCUUGGACCAACCUUACAUGUCGUCGCACAUGAGACCGGUUUCAUUGCUUGACAUGCAACUAGUAUUACAUAAAAGUGGUUGGCGGGUGACUGUCUCUCCUACGUUAGUUGAAUCCGAUUUGACAAAGGCGGUCCUUGUAGAAGGUUAAAAGGCAACUUGAAUAUCACCGUUGUUGUUUUGCGUACAUAAGAAUGGUUCUUAUAGUUUGCCCUAGCAGCCACGUAAAAAUUGCAACAACAAAAUAGUGGACGUCUAAUUUGUUUCUGUAGGGCAUGUUGUGAUGUGGUAUGAUCUAAAUGUGAUGUCAUAUAUGUUGAUGUAUGAGAUGAUCAUGUUUUGUAAUAGGUUCUUGACUUGCAAGUCGAUAAGUACGGCAACUGGCAGGAGUGCCAUGUAAUUGCUUUACUUUGUUGCUAUGUGUUAAUAAUAGUUGUAGAAGCAAUAGAUGGCGAAGACAACCAUGAUGACGACAUGAUGAUGGAGAUCAUGGUGUCAUGCCAGUGACAAUGGAGAUCAUGCCGGUGCUUAGGAGAUGGAGAUCGAAAGCACGAGAUGACAAUGGCCAUAUCAUGUCACAUAUAUUGAUUACAUGUGAUGUUUAUCCUUUUAUGCAUCUUAUUUUGCUUAGGAUGGCGGUAGCAUUAUAAGAUGAUCCCUUCACUAAAAUUUCAAGAUAAAAGUGUGUAGGAUCAAAAGUAUGUCUAGAGAGGGGGUGAUUAGACUACUUGACCAAAUAAAAAUCUAGCCUUUUCCCAAAUUUAAGUCUUGGCAGAUUUUAGCAACUUAGCACAAGUCAAGCAAUCAACCUACACAUGCAAUUCUAAGAGUGUGGCGGUGGAAUGUAAAACAUUGCAUAUGAAGCUAGGGAAGGGUUUGGAGAGGGCAAACACAAUGUAGACACGGCGAUUUUUUGCGUGGUUCCGAUAGGUGGUGCUAUCGUACAUCCAUGUUUGAUGGAGACUUCAACCCACGAAGGGUAACGGUUGCGCGAGUCCAUAGAGGGCUCCACCCACGAAGGGUCCAUGAAGAAGCAACCUUGUCUAUCCCACCAUGGCCAUCGCCCAUGAAGGACUUGCCUCACUCGGGUAGAUCUUCACAAAGUAGGCGAUCUCCUUGCCCUUACAAUCUCCUUGGGUCAACUCCACAAUCUUGACAGAGGCUCCCAAGUGACACCUAACCAAUCUAGGAGACACCACUCUCCAAAAGGUAAUAGAUGGUGUGUUGAUGAUGAACUCCUUGCUCUUAUGCUUCAAAUGAUAGUUCCCCAACACUCAACUCUCUCUCACAGAUUUGGAUAUGGUGGAAAGAUGAUUUGAGUGGAAAGCAACUUGGGGAAGGAUGGAGAUCAAGAUUCUUGUGGUUGGAUUGGAAUGUCUUGGUCUCAACACAUGAGUAGGUGGUUCUCUCUCAGAAAAUGAGUAGUGGAAGUGUAGGCAUGUUCUGAUGGCUCUCUCACAAAUGGAUAAGGGGUUGAGGGGUAUAUAUAGCCUUCAUACAAAAUCUAACCGUUACACACAUUUUACCAAACUCGGUCAGACCGAAUAGUGAAACUCGAUGAGACCGAUUCAGUUUGUUAGGCUUUUUGGUGGAACCGACGAUAUCAACUCAGUGGGACCAAUGCACUAGGGCCAGGGCAAAACCUCAUCUUGGUGAGACCGAUCGCAUGAGCUCGGUGAGACCGAUUUCAGCAAUAAGCAAAUAGAGGCUUGGUCAAGCAAACUCGGUGGGACCGAUCGCUCAUUUCGGUGAGGCCAAAACGUUACGAAAAGGAAACAGAGAGUUUGCAUUGCAAACUUGGUGGGACCGAUCACUCAUUUCGGUAAGACUGAAACCUUAUGAAGGGAAACAGAGAGUUUGCAAUCCCAUCUCGGUGAGACCGAUAUCCCUAUCGGUGAGACCGAACUGAUUAGGAUUUCUGGCUAUGGCUAUGUCAAGAGAACUCGGUGGCGCCAGAUAAAUCAAAUCGGUGGGGCCAAGUUUGACUUUUAGGUUUAGGACAUAUUUGGAUUUGAGAAAGUGGUUGAGGGCUUUGGAGCAUAUCACUAAGCAUUUUGAGAAAGCAAGUCAUUAAGCAACACCUCAUCCCCUUUUUAUAGUAUUGACUUUUCCUAUGGACUCAAUGUGAUAUUGGAUCACUAAAAUAGAAAUGAAGAGUCUUGAGCUUUUGCCAAUAUGUGUCCUUAGCAUUUUGAGGGCUCCACAUCUCUAGUCCAUGCCAUGCUAAUAAUUGAACUUUUUGAAACAUUUAACUUGAAUGGAUAUUAGUUCAAUGAGCUAUAUGUUGUUAUGAAUUACCAAAAGCACCUGGGGAUUAGCUGUACUUUCAAUCUCCCCCUUUUUGGUAACUAAUGAUAACAUAUAGAUCAAAGCUUCGACAAAUGAUAAUAUAAAUGAAGUACAUCGUCGCUUUGAGAAGUAUGUGAUAAGCAAGAGCUCCCCCUAAAUUUGUGCAUUAUUCAAAAUUUGCUUUUGAAUGCAAAUGCACAAUCGAUUAGGAUCAUGGGUUACUCUUCCAUGUCACAUAUAUCUUGGUGGAGCGCUCAAAAUGAUAGAAUAUAAGUAGCAUGCACUCAUCACCAAGGCAAAACAUGAAUGAUCAUACACAAGUGAUAAGAUAUCAUCGUCCAAGCACACAUUAAAGCAUAAUAUGAUCAAACACAUGACCAUAGAAGUAUCUCACACACAAGCAAAAAUAAAUUGUAGCAACCAAACAAGCAAAUAAAGUAGCAAGAGAGGAAAAUAAAAGCAAAACACACACUCUCUCUCGAAGCCUAUGAUCUAUACACUUUCUCCCCUUUUGGCAACAAGUUACCAAAAAGCUCGAAAAUGCAUAGUGCUAUGCGGCACUUGAUAUGUCUCCAACAUAUCUAUAAUUUUUUAUUGUUCCAUGCUAUUAUAUUAUCUGUUUUGGAUGUUUAAUAGGCAUUUAUAUGCUAUUUUAUAUUAUUUUUGGGACUAACCUAUUAACCGAGGGCCGAGUGCCAGUUUCUGUUUUUUGUCUAUUUUAGAGUUUCGCAGAAAAGGAAUACCAAACAAAGUCCAAACGGAAUGAAACCUUCACGAUGAUCUUUCUUGGACCAAAAGGAAACCAGAAUAUUUGGAGAUGAAGUCGGAGACGCAACGAGGUGGCCACGAGGCAGGAGGGCGCGCCUCCUACCUCGUGGGCCCCUUGUAGCUCCCCUGACCUACUUCAUUCGCCUAUAUAUACUCUUAUACCCUAAAACAUCCAAGGGAGCCACAAAACCACUUUUCCACCACCGCAACCUUCUCUACCCGUGAGAUCCCAUCUAGGGGCCUUUUCCGGCAUCCUGUCGGAGGGGGAUUCGAUCAUGGAGGGCUUCUACAUCAACACGAUUACCUCUUUGAUGAAGCGUGAGUAGUUUACCACAGACCUACGGGUCCAUAGUUAUUAGCUAGAUGGCUUCUUCUCUCUCUCUUUGAUUCUCAAUACCGUGUUCUCCUCGAUGUUCUUGGAGAUCUAUUCGAUGUAAUAUUCUUUUGCGGUGUGUUUGCCGAGAUCCAAUGAAUUGUGGAUUUAUGAUCAGAUUAUCUAUGAAUAUUAUUUGGUUCUUCUCUGAAUUCUUAUAUGCAUGAUUUGAUAGCUUUGCAAGUCUCUUCGGAUUAUCGGUUUAGUUUGGCCCACUAGAUUGAUCUUUCUUCCAAUGGGAGAAGUGCUUAGCUUUCGGUUUAAUCUUGUGGUGUCCUUUCCCAGUGACAGUAGGGGCAGCAAGGCGCGUAUUGUAUUGUUGCCAUUGAGGAUAAAAAGAUGGGUUUUUCAUCAUAUUGCUUGAGUUAAUUCCUCUACAUCAUCUCAUCUUUUUUAAUGCGUUACUCUGUUAUUUAUGAACUAAAUACUCUAGAUGCAUGCUGGAUAGCGAUCGAUGUGUGGAGUAAUAGUAGUAGAUGCAGAAUUGUUUCGGUGUACUUGACACAGACGUGAUGCCUAUGUUCAUGAUCAUUGCCUUAGAUAUCAUCAUAACUAUGCACUUUUCUAUUAAUUGCUUGGCAGUAAUUUGUUCGCCCACCGUAAUAUUUGCUAUCUUGAGAGAAGCCACUACUGAAACCUAUGGCCCCCGGGUCUCUUUUCAAUUAUAUUGAAUCUCUUUUACAUCUUACUAGUUUCCGAUCUACUAUUUUGCAAUCUUUUACUUUCUGGUCUAUAAACCAAAAAUACCAAAAAUAUUUACUUUACCAUUUAUCUAUCUCUAUCAGAUCUCACUUUUGCAAGUGACUGUGAAGGGAUUGACAACCCCUUUAUCGCGUUGGGUGCAAGUUGUUGAUUGUUUGUGCAGGUAUUUGGUGACUUGUGCGUUGUCUCCUACUGGAUUGAUACCUUGGUUCUCAAAACUGGGGGAAAUACUUACACUACUUUGCUGCAUCACCCUUUCCUCUUCAAGGGAAAACCAACGCAAGCUCAAGUGGUAGCAAGAAGGAUUUCUGGCGCCGUUUCCGUUGCCGGGGAGAUCUACAUCAAGUCAAGCAAUACCAAGUACCCAUCAUAAACUCUUCUCCCUUGCAUUACAUUAUUCGCCAUUCACCUCUCAUUUUCCUCUCCCCCACUUCUAAAAUGAUUUUCGAAAAGAUUUGCAUUUUCUUUGCCUUCCUCCCGUAUGUAUUUUUGUUUGUGUUUCCAUGUGCCUUCUAUUUGCUUGCAUCUUUGCUUGCUAAAAAUAUAUUUAUAUGGAUCCACUUAAAAUGUUCUACUUCGAUCAUCUUCGAUCUAUAUGUGCUCAUGUUGAAACCCCAACUAGUUUAGUUCAGGGAAAAUCUUUAGAUAAGCAUGCUCAUUUUGUGUGUCACCGUUUGUCUGAAAAAGGAAGACUCUUAUGGAAUCAAAUAAACAGUUUGCUGUGUUAUGCUUGGAAUCUUUGUGAAAUUUAUGAUUUUACUUGUUGCUCUAAGAACCCUAAAAACACCUUCCCUACCUAUGUGAGUUUAAUGAUAAUGAAAUCUUAUCUUCUUAUGCAAAGGGUGUUUAUAGUUACUAUGAUAUCGAACAAAUUGAAGAAUUUGUUGCUUUUAAGGGUGCUUAUGAAGUUGCUUCUUUGAUUGAAAAGUAUGACAUUACUCUCUACAAAUCUGAAAUUUUUGACAUACUUAAAUAUUGCUAUGAAAACUAUGCUCAUAAUGUCUAUGUCAAAGAAUUUAUUGAGAGAAGGACCAUUGCUUUGGAAGAAAAUAAUAAUUAUGAUUCCGAUGAUUUGAUUGAAAUAUCCCUUGAUGAACAUGACGCUUGCUAUUCUUGUGGUCAUGAUGCCAAUAUUUAUGGAGAUGAAUUUGCUAUAGUCCCUUAUGUUAAACAUGAGAUUGUUGCUAUUGCACCCAUACUUGAUAGUUCCUUCGAUGAAAAGCAUGAUUGCAAUGAUGUUAUUAGAAAUUCUAUUAAUGUCAAUUGUGCUAGUAAUAUGCAAAACCCUAAGCUUGGGAAUGCUAGUUUUGCUAUGUCUACUGUUUGUUGCAAUGAUCAUGAUUGGGGUGAUUCCUUUAUGAUCUUGAAAAUUUCUUCAAGCCCCAUGAUGAAUAUGAGAUUGGUAAUAAUGUUUGCUAUAAUAUUGAAAGUGGGUUUGGAAGAGUGUCAACUUUAUAUACAACAUAUUUGGAGAAUGUUCAAUCUUAUGAAAAUUUUGAGAAAAGUGGGUUUGGAGAGGUCAUGACUUUAGUUAAUGUUAAUCCCACUAUUUUGGAAGAGUGUCAACUUCGCAUGCAUGUGGAUCAUGUUGAGAAUAUGUCUUGUGAUAGCUAUAUUGUUGAAUUUGCUUAUGAUCCUACAUGUAAUUAUUAUGAGAGAGCAAAAUAUGCUUGUAGAAAUUUUCAUGUUACUAAAUUACCUCUCUUCAUGUUGAGAUUGUUAUCGUCUCUUUCUUCUUCCUUGCAUAUGCUAGUUUUUGCUUGCCUUGAUAAUUUGUUUGCUUAUAAAAUGCAUAUGCAUAGGAAGUAUGUUAGACUUAGAUGUGUUUGUCACGUGUUUUAUGAUGCUCUCUUUGUGUUUCAAUUCUUCUAUGUGAGCAUCAUUGAAAUUAUCAAUGCCUAGCUAAGGGCGUUAAACAAUAGCGCUUGUUGGGAGGCAACCCAAUUUUAUUUUUGUUCUUUGCGUUUUGUUCCUGUUUAGUAAGAAAUAAUUCAUCUAGCCUCUGGUUAGAUGUGGUUUUAUGUUUUAAUUAGGGUUUGUGCCAAGUAGAACCUUUGGGAAGACUUGGGUGAAAGUUAAUUUGAUCUUGCUGAAAAACAGAAACUUUUGUGCUCACAAGAUUAUUUGUCAUUUUUAACAGAAGAGUGAUUUUGAGUUGAUUAUUUUUGCAAAAUAUUAAUAGAAAAAUUCCUCACGUCCACCAAUUUAUUUCAGAAUUUUUGGAGUUACAGAAGUAUUCAAAAUAUUCAGAUUACUACAGACUGUUCUGUUUUUGACAAAUUCUGUUUUUCGCAUGUUGUUUGCUUAUUUUGAUGAAUCUAUGGGUAGUAUCGGGGGGUAUGAACCAUGGAGAAGUUGGAAUACAAUAUAUAUUACACAAAUAUAAAUAAAGAAUGAGUUUUCAACACUACCUUAAAGUGGUGAUUUAUUUUCUUAUACUAAGGGAGCUCAUGAGAUUUUCUGUCGAGUUUUGUGUUGUGAAGUUUUCAAGUUUCGGGUAAGGAUUUGAUGGACUAUGGAAUAAGGAGUGACAAUAGCCUAAGCUUGGGGAUUCCCAAGGCACCCCAAGGUAAUAUUAAAGGACAACCAAAAGCCUAAGCUUGGGGAUGCCCUGUACGGCAUCCCCUCUUUCGUCUUCGUUUAUCGGUAACUUUACUUGAAGCUAUAUUUUUAUUCACCACAUGAUAUGUGUUUUGCUUGGAGCGUCUUGUAUGAUUUGAGUCUUUGCUUUUUUGUUUACCACAAUUAUCCUUGCUGUACACACCUUUUGGGAGAGACACGCAUGAAUCGUGAUUUAUUAGAAUACUCUAUAUCCUUCACUUAUAUCUUUUGAGCUAGACAAUAUUGCUCUAGUGCUUCACUUAUAUCUUUGUAGAGCACGGUGGUGGAUUUACUUUAUAGAGAUUGUUGAACUCUCAUGCUUCACUUAUAUUAUUUUGAGAGUAUUUUAGAACAGCAUGGCAAUUUUCUUGGGUUAUAAAACUAGUCCUAAUAUGAUGGGCAUCCAAGAUGGAUAUAAUAAAAACUUUCAUAUAAAGUGCAUUGAAUACUAUGAGAAGUUUGAUUCUUUAUGAUUAUUUUGAGAUAUGAAGAUGGUGAUAUUAGAGUUUGGAGUAGUCGUGAAUUUGAGAGAUACUUGUGUUAAAGUUUGUGAUUCCCAUAGCAUGCAUGUAUGGUGAACCGUUAUGUGAUGAAGUUGGAGCACGAUUUAUUUAUUGAUUGUCAUCCUUAUGAGUGGAGGUCGGGAUCACGCGAUGGUUAACUCCUACCAACCCUUACCCUAGGAGCAUGCGUGCAGUACUUUGUUUUGAUGACUUGUAGAUUUUUGCAAUAAGUAUGUGAGUUCUUUAUGACUAAUGUUGAGUCCAUGGAUUAUAUGCACUCCCACCCUUCCACCAUUGCUAGCCUCUCUUGUGCCGCGCAAAUUUCAUCGGUACCGUACACCCACCAUUACCUUCCUCAAAAUAGCCACCAUACCUACCUAUUAUGGCAUUUCCAUAGCCAUUCCGAGAUAUAUUGCCAUGCAACUUUCCACCGUUUCAUUUAUUAUGACACGCUUCAUCAUUGUCAUAUUGCUUUGCAUGAUCAUGUAGUUGAUAUCGUAUUUGUGGCAAAGCCACCAUUCAUAAUUCUUUCAUACAUGUCACUCUUGAAUCAUUGCACAUCCCGGUACACCGCCAGAGGCAUUCACAUAGAGUCAUAUUUUGUUCUAAGUUUUGAGUUGUAAGUAAAUAAAAGUGUGAUGAUCUUCAUUAUUAGAGCAUUGUCCCAUGUGAGGAAAGGAUGAUGUAGAGUAUGAUUCCCCCACAAGUCGGGAUGAGACUCCGAACGGAAAAAAAGAAAAGAAAAAAAGAGGCCAUAAAAAAGAGAAGGCCCAAAUAAAAAAAUAAAAAAAAUCAGAGAAAAAGAGAGAAGGGACAAUGUUACUAUCCUUUUUCCACACUUGUGCUUCAAAGUAGCACCGUGAUCUUCAUGAUAGAGAGUCUCCUAUUUUGUCACUUUCAUAUACAGUGGAAAUUUUCAUUAUAGAACUUGGCUUGUAUAUUCCAAUGAUGGGCUUCCUCAAAACGCCCUAGGUCUUCAUGAGCAAGCGAGUUGGAUGCACACCCACUUAGUUUCUUUUUGAGCUUUCAUACACUUAUAGCUCUAGUGCAUCCGUUGCAUGGCAAUCCCUACUCACUCACAUUGAUAUCUAUUGAUGGGCAUCUCCAUAGACCGUUGACACGCCUAGUUGAUGUGAGACUAUCUUCUCCUUUUUGUCUUCUCCACAACCACCAUUCUAUUCCACCUAUAGUGCUAUGUCCAUGGCUCACGCUCAUGUAUUGCAUGAAAGUUGAAAAAGUUUAAAAAUACUAAAGUAUGAAACAAUUGCUUGGCUGAAACCAGGGUUGUGCAUGAUUUAAAUAUUUUGUGUGAUGAAGAUAGAGCAUAGCCAGACUAUAUGAUUUUGUAGGGAUAGCUUUCUUUGGCCAUGUUAUUUUGAGAAGACAUGAUUGCUUUGUUAGUAUGCUUGAAGUAUUAUUAUUUUUAUGUCAAUAUUAAACUUUUGUUUUGAAUAUUUUGACUUUCGGAUCUGAACAUUCAUGCCACAAUAAAGAAAUUUACAUGGAUAAAUAUGUUAGGUGGCAUUCCACAUCAAAAAUUCUGUUUUUAUCAUUUACCUACUCGAGGACGAGCACGAAUUAAGCUUGGGGAUGCUUGAUAUGUCUCCAACGCAUCUAUAAUUUUUUUAUUGCUCCAUGCUAUUAUAUUAUAUGAUUUGGAUGUUUAAUAGGCAUUUAUAUGCUAUUUUAUAUUAUUUUUGGGACUAAUCUAUUAACCGAGGGCCCAAUGCGAGUUUUUGUUUUUCUACCUAUUUUAGAGUUUCGCAGAAAAGGAAUACCAAACGAAGUCCAAACGGAAUGAAACCUUCGCGAUGAUCUUUCUUGGACCGAAAGGAAACUAGAAGACUUGGAGUUGAAGUCGGAAACGCAACGAGGCGGCCACGAGGCAGGAGGGCGCGCCCCCUACCUCGUGGGCCCCUCGUAGCUCCCCUGACCUAGUUCCUUCGCCUAUAUAUACUCUUAUACCCUGAAAACAUCCAGGGGAGCCACGAAACCACUUUUUCACCGCCGCAACCUUCUCUACCCGUGAGAUACCAUCUAGGGGCCUUUUCCGGCAUCCUGUCGGAGGGGGAUUCGAUCAUGGAGCACUACAAAAAAAUACACUUGCGUGAUGAUACAUGUUUGUCACAGUAGGUCGCAUUUUUUGUCAUGCAUGUACAUCCAUGACGAUUUUAUGACAGAAUUAAGAUAGUCAUACCUAUGUUGUCAUAGAAGUGUUCCACGACAUUACCAAAAUUAUCAUCACGGAAGUGUCCACUUCCAUGACGAUAAAUUGCGCGUCACAGAAGUGCUUUCGUCAAGGGUGACCGACACGUGGCAUCCACCGUAACGGAACACCGUUAAGCUAUCGGGUCCGGUUUUGGAUCCGAUAUCCCGUUAACAGCCCCAAUCAGUGGGGAUUUUCCACGUGUAAAAUCAUCAUUGGCUGGAGGAAACACGUGUCGGCUCAUCGUUGGGACAGAUGUCAUCCACUCAUUGGACCCAAGGCGCCUAUGAUACGUUAACACGUGGCACGGCCCAAUAGAGGCCCAUUCCCGUGAAAAGGCCGACCCGUUUGACUUGGUCAAAAGGUGGUGAGCCAGCCCACGGAAAGCCUAUUAACGGCAUGUUCGCAUAUAGCCCAUUUACAACCCGCUAACUCACGGCCCGUUACAGCCUACCGGAAUUACGCCCAGUAGCGUCAUCUGGGCCGUCCAAUAUGAUUCCAGCCCAUUGUAACUUCCGGCCCAUGUAUGGCCCAUGACGUCUUUUGGCCCAUAUGAGUACCUUUGUAACUCUUGGCCCAUUAACAACCCGUGGUGAAAUCGACCCGUAAUGAAUAGUGUAUCGCUUUAUACCCAUUAGCGGCCCAUUCAUUGGGUCGUUUCCAGCCCGUGUUACCUUUCGGCUUUCUCAGGGCCCAUUUAUUCUUGAACUCAUUUACAACAUUCAGUUACUUACGGCCCGUUACUGGCCUUUUCUGCUUGUGGGCCAAAUUCAGCCCGUGGAUACAGUCGACCCGUUUGUGGCCCGUUAAUCUGUUGGGCCAUUUUCAUAGCAUCAUCAAAUACGGCCUAUUAAUGGCCCAUUAUGGUUAGCCGAUAAAACAUACGAUUUCCAGUCUAGCCCGUUUACGGCCCAUUAUAUGGCCCGUACAAGGUCCAUAGAUGAGACGGCCCGUAGAAGGCCCAUGGAUCCUACGGGACGUAGAAGGCCCAUUGAUCCUGUCGGAUUUCGGGUUCCGGCAGACCCUUGAGGUUCGAACUCUGGCGUGCGCGCGGAGAUCUCUCCCCUACCAACCUACGUCCCAAAGCCUCGCUAAGAAUCUAGGCUAGCAAGAUAAUCAACACAAGGGACACGGAGUUUAUACUAGUUCAGGCCACCAUUGUGGUGUAAUACCCUACUCCAGUGUGUGGUGUGUGGAUUGCCUUAAGGGCUGAUGAUGAACAAUACAAGGGAGGAACAACCUCGCGAGGGGUGUUCUUGUGCUGGUGUGGGUGGUUCUGCCUAAGGUUCGAUUGCUCAAUCCCCUGCCUUGAGAAUGGCUAGUCCUAUUUAUAGAGGCCUUGGUCCUCUUCCCAAAUAUUGAGCGGGAAGGGCGCCAACAACGGCCAUUUUGAAGGGGAACAUCUAGUACAGCUUAUCCUGACUAAAGUUGGUCUUCGACUGCCAAAGGCCCUGAGGAUGACGCCGUCUUCGGCUCCACGAUGACCUCCAUCCUGCCGCUCUACUGGUCUUGGUCUUGUUACACCGAAACGGUAGCCUUUGCCUGAUGCCUUGGUCUGAGCUUGCUCCCUUUGCACCAAAGAGGAAACAAGGACAGUGCGCAGGCCGGCGCCCGUCUGGCGCCCGCCUGGUCUCGAUCGUCAUGGCUUGCAUCAUGUGCACCUCGUGAGGUACCCUCGCCUUGAUCUCUCUGCCUCCUCGCGAGCCUGCCUGGCGAGGCCGCUCCCGAGGAAGCUUCCUGUCGUCCUCCCCGCGAGGCUUGGCCCCUUGCGGGGGUCUUGAGCUUGAGUCGAUGAAGAUGGGCCGCAUCGGGCCACCACUUGAGCCACGUCGUAGACUGCAUGCAGGCAAGUCUGGGGACCCCCGUUCCCAGAACACCGACAGUAGCCCUCGGGCCCAAGGCGCGCUUGGACUUGGCUUAGCGGAGAAGCGAAGGGGUAAGUGCGAAGCACCGCGGGCCCCAACAGCUUGUGGCCUUGGGUGCCACGUGGCGGUUGAUUGGACGUGGGCGUCUCCGCUUCCCCACGCCGCCUCGGCAACCGUUCGACAUGACAAAAGGGCUGGUCCGGUUCAGGAUUGCCUUCAUUGCUCCCAUUCAUCUUGCUUCAGAUCCCCUUUCUUGCCCUUCACCUCCCCACUUCUGGAAUCCUCUAGAUCUGCAUCAAUCUCUCACCUUCGACGAGCAAUGGCGCCAAUUCGCCGGUUCUUCGCCGAAGAGAAGGGGAAGGCCCCCGAGAGAGGCCCGUCCCACUUCCACUGAAGAAGCGGCCAGUCCCCUGUUGCCAUGAUGAGGGUGCUCGAGACAUCGAGGCCUUGGUAUGAGUGGCCACCGCCGGGGUUUCCGCUACCCUUGUACGCCCGAGCCAGGGGUUCUAGAGAAGGAGACACCGAGCGGCGCCGCCAGCGCCGUCGGCAACGCUGACGAGUCACAGCGGUGCGUGUCGUUGCCCCCCGGGGUCCAUGCUAAGGGCUCUUCCCACGAGCUGGUGCUUCACGCCGCCAUGCCCCCGUGCUCUUGGAUUUGCCUUCCUCCCUCCUUCGCCUUCGAGAUACCACCGAGGGGGCCUCGGGAGCUCUGGCUAGGGCAAGCUCGCCUGCCGAGACUACACCUUCGUCUGUGGGAAAAGGAGGCAGCAAGGCUCGUGCCUCCCCGCCCGGUCAUCCUCACGAGGUCAGGAGGGGCGUACUGGCGUGGAUCCAGCCCCCGUGGUCUUGGUGACUCCGAAGGCAUCCGUGCUAGACGCUGUCAUCGAGGUCGCCGAGGUCCCGAAGGCCCCAACACCCGACGCUGUGAUCAUGCUGCCGUCUUCGCCUCCUACUCCACUGGUUGCCGUCUCUACGGCCCCUUCCACCGUCUUGGAUCGUGCUGCUGCCGAGCUAGGUCGACUGCGAGAAGAUCUCCAAGGCGCCGACCCCCGCCUGGUGGUCGGGCGCCUGGAGUUGGUCUGUGUCUGGGUCCACUCCGAUGCCUCUGUCCGAGCGGCGCUGAGCCAGGCUGUGUCGGCCCUCGAGGAGGAGAAACAAGCCACCUCCCAAGCCAAGGCCGCUCGCGACGCAACUUUGGGUGAUGCCACGGAUGUCCAGAGCUGCUGCAAGGUGCUGGGGGACGAGCUGCAAGGCCUGCGCGACGAGCUUGCCAAGGAGGUCCGGGGUCGCCAGAAGAAGGAGGAGGAGAUGACGGCUCGGGAGGCCGCCGUCAGGGAUCGCGACGCUGAGCUUUUGGCCGACCGCGAUCGGCUGGAGACGCUGAAGCAGGCGCUGAAGUUGGAGGGAGUUGAGUUGGACGCCAAGGCGAAGGUCUUGGCUGAGGAUCAGGUGGCCUUCGCGAAGAUGGAGGAGAAGGCUCGCAUCGCGCUGAAGAUGCUUUACGACGGCGGCUUAGAGAAGCCGUUGGCUGGCGCGGAGGACGGACCCGCCAAGCUGCUUCCCUUCUUGGUCCAGACGCUUGAAGAUGUCACGGACGGAUGAUACGUCCAUUUUGCAUCAUGCUUUUAUGACAAUAUUUAUUGCAUUAUGGGAUGUUAUUUCACGUUAUGUCACGAUACUUAUGGCCAUUAUCUCUUAUUUUACAAGGUUUGCAUGAAGAGGGAGAAUGCCGGCAGCUGGAAUUCUGGGCUAGAAAAGGAGCAAAUAUUGGAGGCCUAUUCUACGCAACUCCAGAAGUCCUGAAACUCCACGGAAUAUUUUGAAAUAAAUAAAGAAAAAUCGUCGCCAAAUAUGAAGGCCAGGGGGCCCACACCCUGCUCACGAGGGUGGGAGGCGCCCCCCUGGGCGCGCCCCCCUACCUCAUGGGCCCCUGGUGGCUCUCCGACGCCCAUCUUCUCCUACAUGAAGUCUUUCGAUGAGAAAAAAUUAAGAGAGAACCUUUCGGGAUGAGACUCCGCCGCCACGAGGCGGAACCUUGGCGGAACCAAUCUAGGGCUCUGGCAGAGCUGUUCUGCCGGGGACACUUCCCUCCGGGAGGGGGAAAUCAUCACCAUCGUCAUUACCAACGCUCCUCUCAUCGGGAGAGGGCAAUCUCCAUCAACAUCUUCACCAGCACCAUCUCAUCUCUAAACCCUAGUUCCUCUCUUGUAUCCAAUUCUUGUCUCCAAGUCCGGGAUUGGUGCUAGUAGGUUGCUAGUAGUGUUGAUUACUCCUUGUAGUUGAUGCUAGUUGGUUUAUUUGGUGGAAGAUCAUAUGUUCAGAUCCUUUAUGCAUAUUAUUACCCCUCUGAUUAUGAACAUGAAUAUGCUUUGUGAGUAAUUAUGUUUGUUCCUGAGGACAAGGGAUAAGUCUUGCUAUUAGUAGUCAUGUGAAUUUGGUAUUCGUUCGAUAUUUUGAUGAGAUGUAUGUUGUCUAACCUCUAGUGGUGUUAUGUGAACAUCGACUACAUAACACUUCACCAUUAUUUGGGCCUAAAGGAAGGCAUUGGGAAGUAAUAAGUAGAUGAUGGGUUGCUAGAGUGAUAGAAGCUUAAACCCUAGUUUAUGCGUUGCUUCAUAAGGGGCUGAUUUGGAUCCAUAUGUUUCAUGCUAUGGUUAGGUUUACCUUAAUACUUUUGUUGUAGUUGCGGAUGCUUGCAAUAGGGGUUAAUCAUAAGUGGGAUGCUUGUCCAAGUAAGGGCAGUACCCAAGCACCGGCCCACCCACAUAUCAAAUUAUCAAAGUACCGAACGCGAAUCAUAUGAGCGUGAUGAAAACUAGCUUGACGAUAUUCCCAUGUGUCCUCGGGAGCACCUUUUCCUAUUAUAAGAGUUUGUCCAGGCUUGUCCUUCGCUACAAAAAGGAUUGGGCCACCUUGCUGCACCUUGUUUACUUUUGUUACUUGUUGCUCGUUACAAUUUAUCUUAUCACAAAACUAUCUUUUACCACUUAUUUCAGUACUUGCAGAGAAUACCUUGCUUAAAACCGCUUAUCAUUUCCUUCUGCUCCUCGUUGGGUUCAACACUCUUACUUAUCGAAAGGACUAUGAUAGAUCCCCUAUACUUGUGGGUCAUCAAGACUCUUUUCUGGCGCCGUUGCCAGGGAGUGAAGCGCCUUUGGUAGGUGGAAUUUGGUACGGAAAAAUUUAUUUAGUGUGCUGAAAUUUUUUGUCACUUGUUACUAUGGAAAGUAACUGUCUGAGGGGCUUGUUCGAGGUAUCUUCACCCCGUCCAGUAGAGCAAAGAGUUGCUCCUCAACCUACUCAACCUACUGAACCUAUUGAAAAUGAAACUCCUUUUGAGAUUCCUUCGGGUUUGAUGGAAAAACUGCUAGCUAACACUUUUACAGGAGAUGGAACAAAGCAUCCUGAUGAACAUCUACGUUAUGUGGAUGAUGUUUGUGGACUAUUUAAGCUUGCAGGUAUACCCGAUGAUGCUAUUAAGAAGAGGGUUUUCCUUUAUCUUUGAAGGGAGACGCAUUGACAUGAUAUAGGCUAUGUGAUGAUACGAGAUCAUGGAACUAUAAAAGAUUGAAAUUGGAAUUUCAUCAAAAGUAUUACCCUAUGCAUCUUGUUCAUUGUGAUCGCAAUUAUAUAUGCAAUUUUUGGCCUCGCGAAGGAGAAAGCAUCGCUCAAGCUUGGGGGAGGCUUAAAUCAAUGUUAUAUUCAUGCCCCAAUCAUGAGCUCGCAAGAGGAGUAAUUAUGCAAAAAAAUUAUGCUCGGCUUUCUGAUAACAAUCGCACCAUGCUCGAUACUUCUUGUGCUGGCUCUUUUAUGAUGAAGACUAUUGAAUUCAGAUGGAAUUUAUUGGAUAGAAUUAAACACAACUCUAAAGAUUGGGACCUCGACAAAGGUAAGGAGUCAGGUAUGACACCUAAGUUUGAUUGUGUUAAAUCUUUUAUGGAUACCAAUAUUUUCCGUAAGUUUAACACUAAAUAUGGACUUGACUCUGAGAUAGUAGCUUCUUUCUGUGAAUCUUUUGCUACUUAUGUUGAUCUCCCCAAGGAGAAGUGGUUUAAAUAUCAUCCUCCCAUAGAAGUGAAAGUAGCUGCACCUAUUAAAGUUGAAGAAAAGAUUGUCACUUAUAAUGAUCCUAUUGUUCCCACUUCUUAUGUUGAGAAACCACCUUUCCUUAUUAGAAUGAAGGAUCAUGCUAAAGCUUCAACUGUUGUUCGUAAAAGCAAUAUUAGAACUUAUACACCUCCUGAACAAGUCAAAGUAGAACCUAAUAUUGCUAUUGUUAAAGAUCUCUUGUCUCAUAAUAUCGAUGUGCAUGUUAUUCAAUUCCAGGGUGAGACUGCUAGAAUUGCUAAACCUUGUGAUAAAGAUAAACAUAGACCUAUGGUAGGCAUGCCUGUUAUUUCUGUUAAAAUACGAGAUCAUUAUUAUCAUGGCUUGUGUGAUAUGGGUGCUAGUGCUAGUGUUAUACCCAUGGAUUUAUACAAAGAAAUUAUGCAUGAUAUUGCACCUGCUGAGUUAGAAGGUAUUGAUGUUACAAUCAAACUUGCCAAUAGAGAUACUAUUUCUCCAGUGGGAAUUGUUAGAGAUGUUGAAGUCUUGUGUGGGAAAACCAAAUAUCCGGCUGAUUUUCUUGUUCUUGGUUCUCCAGAAGAUAGCUUCUGUCCCAUUAUAUUUGGUAGACCCUUCUUGAAUACUGUUAAUGCUAUGAUAGACUGCAAAAAGAAUGUUGUUACUGUUGGCCUGGAUGAUAUGGUUCAUGAGUUUAAUUUCUCUAAAUUUAGUAAGCAACAUCGUGAGGAGGAAUUGCCUAGUAAGGAUGAAAUUAUUGGUCUUGCUUCCAUUGCCGUACCUCCUAGUGAUCCUUUAGAACAAUAUUUGCUAGACCAUGAAAAUGAUAUGUUCAUGAAUGAAAGAAGGGAAAUAGACGAAGUAUUCUUCAAACAAGAACCUAUUCUGCAACACAAUUUUCCUGUUGAAAUCCUAGGGGGUCCUCCUCCACCCAAGGGUGAUCCCGUGUUUGAGCUUAAACCAUUGCGUGAUAAUCUCAAAUAUGCUUAUCUUGAUGAAAGUAAAAUAUAUCCUGUCAUUAUUAGCGCUAACCUUUCAGAGCAUGAAGAAGAAAGAUUAUUAAAAACUUUGAAGAAGCACCGUGCCGCUAUUGGAUAUACACUUGAUGAUCUUAAGGGCAUCAGUCCCACUCUAUGUCAACAUAAAAUAAAUUUGGAAGCUGAUGCCAAACCAGUUUGUGAUCCUCAACGACGUUCGAAUCCUAAAAUGAAAGAAGUGGUAAGAAAAGAAAUACUCAAGCUUCUGGAGGCAGGUAUAAUUUAUCCCGUUGCUGAUAGUCAGUGGGUAAGUCCUGUCCAUUGUGUCCCUAAGAAGGGAGGUAUUACUGUUGUCCCUAAUUAUAAAGAUGAAUUGACCCCGCAAAGAAUUAUCAAAGGUUAUAGGAUGGUAAUUGAUUUCCGUAAAUUAAAUAAAGCUACUAAGAAAGAUCAUUAUCCCUUACCUUUUAUUGAUCAAAUGCUAGAAAGAUUAUGCAAACAUACACAUUAUUGCUUUCUAGAUGGUUAUUCUGGUUUCUCUCAAAUACUUGUGUCAGCUAAAGAUCAAUCAAAAACUACUUUUACAUGCCCUUUUGGUACUUUUUGAAAGUGCUAGUUAUCAACUAGAGGGGGGGGGGGUGAAUAGGCGAUUUUUAUCAAAGUCUUCAAAACGUGGAAGUUUUGAAGACAAACAAUAGAAAUAACCUAAUUGAUAUGCAGCGGAAGAUAAACUACAACAAGCAAGCCAUAGUCAAGUAUGCAAUAACAUUAACGUACGAAGACUAAUAGCCGCUAGGUAGUAGGAUCAGGAUGGAAGAUAGUAUGAAGCCAAUCAACAAUAGUAGUCAAACAAAGAAGUCAAUCAGAUAAGACAGAUAAGCAAUGACGUCACGAAGACAAACUCAAAGUAAAGGAGGGAAGAGAUAGAACCAGUCACUUGUUGAAGACACAGGAUUUGUUGGACCAGUUCCAGUUGCUGUGACAACUGUACGUCUGGUUAGGGAGGCUGAGAUUCAACUCAGAAGACCGUGUCUUCACCAUAUUCCCCUUGAGCUAAGGACACUUAGUCCUCGCCCAAUCACUCUGGUAAGUCUUCAAGGUAGACUUACAAACCUUCACAGACUUUGUUCACCCGGCAAUCCACAAUGACUCUUGGAUGCUCAGAACGCGACGCCUAACCGGCUGGAGGAUACACAAUCCUCAAGUGUAAUAAGUCUUCAGGUCACACAGACAGAAAGACUUCAGUGAUGCCUAACACUCUUUGGCUCUGGGUGUUUGGGCUUUGCCUCGCAAGGAUUUCUCUCUCAAAGGCUUCGAGGUGGGUUGCUCUCAAAACGACAAAAGCCGUAAACUAACUCUGAGCAGCCACCAAUUUAUGGUGUAGGGGGUGGGCUAUUUAUAGCCACAAGGCAACCCGACCUGAUUUGUACGAAAUGACCCUGGGUCACUAAGGAACUGACAUGUGUUCCAAUGGUCAGAUUUCAAACACACGCGGCAACUUUACUUGGGCUACAAGCAAAGCUGACUCAUCCAACUCUGGAUAAGAUUUGCUCUCAUUGUCUUCGCUCGAAGACAUAGGAUUUGGGUUGAGCAUCACUUCAGUCACUCUGACUUAGUUCACUUGGACCCCACUUAACAGUACGGUGGUUCCUAUGACUCAACAAAGAAGAAAAAGGAAACAACGAAACCACACAGUCUUCGCGCUCCAUAGUCUUCACGCAAUGUCUUCUCAUGUCAUAGUCUUCAAUAUGAAUAUCUUCUCAUACCACCAUUGUCUUCAAUGUCUUCAUACAUUUUUAGGGGUCAUCUCCGGUAGGUAAACCGAAUCAAUGAGGGACACUACCUGCGUUAUCCUGCAAUUCUCACAAGCGCAUUAGUCCCUCAACCAAUUUAGUCGUCAAUACUCCAAAACCAACUAGGGGUGGCACUAGAUGCACUUACAAUCUCCCCCUUUUUGGUGAUUGAUGAAAAACUAGUUGAAGUUUUCAACGGGGAUAAAGUAUGUGAAAUUGUAAAGGAUAGGAAAUUGUCUUCAUAAGUAGCAAGGGCUCCCCCUGAAAAUGUGUAUAUAAGUAAUUUUGCUUUUGGAAUGCAAAUGCACAUGGCAGGUUGUACUUGUGGAGAUCCACUUCAACUUAUGAAGAUAAUUCAUCAUGCAUGAAAUGAUAUAGCAUAUAGGAUGACAUGCAUAAUGAAAAAUGGACGUCUGCAGGAUGAUCUAAGUGCGGAAGUUAUCAUCGCACAUGCGGAAUUUAUCAUCGCAUCACAGUAAAGCAAAUAAGUAGCAGACAACCAUCAAGUCUAGGUGUUACAACUCAAAGAACCAAAUGUUUUAAAAAGCAAGAGUUGUAAGCACGAGGCAAAAAUAUAAUGCAACCGCCCAUAUGAACCCGCUUGAAGACUAUCAACUCGUAUGCUUCUCCCCCUUUUGUUAGUAAUGACCAAAAAGGUUUGAAGACAUAGAGCAUCUACUCGUCCUCACGAGGAGUAGUUGAAGCAGCAAGGUUGUCGUUGUCGUUUGGCGGUGCAGAUGAACUUGGUGCAGUGUCGAUGCGAGCAGAAGUAGGAGGUGGUGAAGUAGCAUCAUCUUCGUCAUCGAUCACUCUGGCAUUGACAGUUGCCGCGGAGGAAGAAUAUUCAGAGUCUUCAAGAGAUGGAGUAUGACGUAGGACAGCAGUCCAUGGAGGAGUGGAGUCAAACUGGAAUCGUUCAUUAAAGCCAUCGUCUUGAAGAUCUGCUUCAGCUCUAAGCAGGGUCAAGCUCUUCCAUGAUCGCCGGCAAGUUUCAUGAGCAACAAAGGCAUUCUUGGUGGCAAGGUUACGAAUGCGAUUGACAUCCACCAAGAGGCUUUGCAUUUGACGCUUCAGCCAAAAAUGAUGCUUAUCUUGCUUCUGAUGUAGGGCCACAAGAAGUUCUCGGUUGCUGAGAACGCGAGAACGCUUCCGAGGCCUUUGGGCAAUAGUGCUUUCAGUGGCUUCAGUAGGUGCUCGAUGAGGCAGACGAGUAUUUCUAGCCAGUGGAUAGAUUCAUGUUGCUGCUUGAACACCUUCAAUGGGUUGAGUGAAGCUUUGGUGCUCGGCAUUCUGAAGACAAAGAGGCUUCUUGGCAGGUUCAGGGUAUAUAGCUUCAACUGACAUAUCAACCUCUGGUAGAAAAAUCACAUGAUUGCGAGCAGAAGGUUGAUAGUUGACAAAUGAGUGUCGCUUGAUGAGGCGCAUGACCCAUGGAGCAUAAAACUUCAGACCAAACAGAUCAGAUCCAGAUGCAGCCAGUUGCCUGAUGAAGAAGUCUUGCGCAUUGAAGCUGAUGCCAUUGAGAAUGUAGAAGUCCAAAGUCUUCAUUGCUCCUUCAAGCUUUGCCGCUGAUGAAUGUCCUUUGAUAGGCCAUAGAGUUCGCCUGAUGAUGUGAUAUAUGGUGCGUGGCAAAUACUCAAGGUCUUCAACAAAGAACUCUAUUGGAUAUUCAGCAUUACGAGGCAAAGGCUUCAUCAUGCUCAACAUCUGACUCAUAUUGGGUUCAGGCUUAUGAAAGAUGCUUUCCAAGGCAUUGCGGUGAUUUUGACAACCAGGUUCAUAGAGUUCUCCUGGAGUGGAUAGGCCUGUAAGCUCAAUGAUGUCGAGAGCUUUGGCUUCAUGAUGAACAUUUCCUGUCAUCCACUCUAGAAUCCAUGUCUUGAUAUCUCUGUUGUAGCCGCGAAUGUGUAGAGUAGCAUAGAAUUGAAGCAAUAGCUCUUCAUUCCAGUGUUCUUUAUCUGUGACAAAACUGAGCAGCCCAGCAUCACAAAAGCAGUCAAGUGCUUCUUCUAAGCAGGGCAGUCCAGUAAUGGCUUCAGCGUCGAGGCGCAUAUGAGGGAAAAUGCGCCCUUGAUCAUACAGAACACAGGAGUAAUAGCUUCGCUGAUGAUGACUCCAGAACCAAUCUGAUGAUAUUCUUGGCUUCAUGUAGGGGUUCUUCGAGCUGUCAAAGAAUGUGUUGUGGCUCUUGAAGCCAUUCGCAUUGAAAGACCCUGGUGAGUUUGCAGUACCUGGAAACCUUGGUAGUCUUGGCUUGGGCUUCUGGACCUGAGGCCUAUGCUCAAUGUGAUAGUCAAAUUGAGGACCAGAGACAUUAGGCGGAGGGACCAAAAUGGGCCAUCUUACUGUGAUUAGCUCGCCAUGGUUGUAUGCUUGCUCGAUUGUAUAGGGCCGUGGUGGCGGAACAGGAGCAGUGGCAGCAACUGAGGCUUCAGGCUGCACAACAGGUGCUUCAGGAGCAGUUGCCUCAUUAGCUUCGGGUGCAGUGGCCUCAUUAGCUUCAGGCACACUGAUUGGUUCAUGCUCCACAUUAGCUUCAGCCAUGACAACGUCAUUGGCUUCACUUGCGUUGGUUGUGGCAGCUUCAGGAUUUUCAACCUCCACUUGAGGAGCUGGAGGGUUAGGCACAGACAUGUUCACUUCANNNNNNNNNNNNNNNNNNNNNNNNNNNNNNNNNNNNNNNNNNNNNNNNNNNNNNNNNNNNNNNNNNNNNNNNNNNNNNNNNNNNNNNNNNNNNNNNNNNNNNNNNNNNNNNNNNNNNNNNNNNNNNNNNNNNNNNNNNNNNNNNNNNNNNNNNNNNNNNNNNNNNNNNNNNNNNNNNNNNNNNNNNNNNNNNNNNNNNNNNNNNNNNNNNNNNNNNNNNNNNNNNNNNNNNNNNNNGUUCUUCUUGACGUUCCUCAUCGGCUGAUACAGCCGGAUUGUCUUCAGCAGCUUGUGCUUCAGACACAGAGACAUUCAUAGUUGGAGUGACUUCAGAGAACACUUGACGUGCAACAGGUUGAUGGUGCACUUCUCCUUCUGGAACGCUCGAAAGAGGGACUUGAGGCCUUGGUCCUUUGUGAAGCCUUUGUAGUACAGGCGACGCCUUUGGAGAUGGAGUGGGUAGGUCCUCAUCCUCUUCAACUUGGACGGAUGGUGUGGUUUGUUGAUGUUGGGGAGUACUGGGGGAGUCUUGUUGCUGUGGGUGAUCAGCCCACGAUGCAUCCUGAGCAAUUGGCGUCAGAGGACGACCAAUGCUGAUGUUUUCGCUGUUCGUACGAACAUGCGAUGAUACCACAUUAUAUUCGAUCUGAGGAAGAACUUCAUCAUCUUCAACAUUGUCAUGAUGACCAAUGUCUUCAGUAGCGGUGGGUUCAGCUGCUGGUAUAUCUUCAGCUUCAGGAGCCUCUGUGGAAGCAGGCUCAUGAACAGUCAUGCGAAGUUCUUGGGAUGCAGAUGAAGGACGAACCACUGAGAUGGGUUCAACAACAAGGGGCUCUAUGGGAGCAGCCCGACUCUUCUUGGUCUUGUGCUUCUUCUUGGAGGGAGCAGCAUCAGAGGCUUCGGUGUUCUUCCUCUUUCUGGCUUCAGCCUCGGCAGCCCUCGUCUUCUUCUAUUCUGAAUCGGUUGUGGUGACCUUUGGCUUCGAGCCAGUCAUGCUGCUCGGGAAGAUAAUGCGAGGGGCUUGUUGGCUUGAAGGUGCAGGCUGGUCAGCAGGAAGCUUCUUCUUUUUCUUUGCAGCCAUCCUCGGGUCAAUGCCAGGACGGCCAAGUGACUUGCGCUUCUCAGCCUCAUUGUAGGCAAGCACACACUUAUUAGCCAAAUGCUUCAUGCGCUCACGAGAGCCUUGAGCUUCUUGGCGCUUCUUCAGAAAAGCUUCUUUAAGCUCAUGCAGCAUGACCUUGAAGUUUUUGACGUCUUGAACACUAAGCUUCGCCACAUGCUUCUUGAAUUGAGCCUUCUCAUAAUCAAUUUUGUUCUUUAGCUCAACGAUGCGCUGAGCAAGAGCUAGCUCAGAAGCAAUGGCGCCAUUGAAAGAGACACUGAGGCCAAUGGGAAGCUGCAAAUCUUCAAAGCUUAGAUUGGAGGUGUCAAACCACUCAUCAAUGAAGUUAUGGAUGAUGGCCACGUCAAAGAGAGGCAAGUUGUUGAAGAUUUCUGCUUCUUCCUUGCUCUUUAUCAGUUGCUCAAGGGCAUCAUCAGCAAGAUCUUCAUCACUGGAUAGAUCAAUGGGCUCUUCACGCAGAAUGGCGGCAGGAGUCAAGGCUUGAUCAGUAUGCUUGACAAGUUGCUUUUUCUUUUCCGUCUUCUUGGAGAUGCGGGAUUGAUCUUCAGACUGCACACUGGCUUUAGGAGGUGCAGUGGCCAGUGGCUUCACACGAGAAGCUUUUGGAGGUGCAGCUGAUGAUGAAGCCUUAAUUUUCUUUGGCUUCUGCGGCCUUGGAGGAGGAGUUGGGGCUUCAUCAGAAUCAGCCUCAUUGUCAGAAUGAUCCACUUUGGCACCUUGUACCAAGAUGUAGGAGAUGAGGCCAUCAAGGUUUGCAAAAGGGCCAAUUCUGUUUUCUUCAGCUUCACGUGUGCCAUCAUCACGGGGAGCAGAGGGACCAGGAUUGAAGUCUAAUCCCUGUGAUUUCCUGUUUUCCUUUGUUGAAGCCUUAGCAAACUAGAAGUUGCGCUUGAAGAGAUUGUCGUCACGACACCAGAGCAAUGAUGAUGGGUCGGCUUCUUCAGGCUGUGGUCCACGGACCAUGCAAGGAUAGAAUUCUUGCGAAUGGCUUCAGCUUUGUUCUUGGGGGGAAGGCCUCGAUAGAGAAUAUCACCCCAAGGGCUCUUGAUAGCAUUUUUCUCUGCGUACUCCUGGGUGACGAACUUGUACUUGUACCACUGUUCAUCCCAAUAGCGUCGAAUCCAUUGGAUUCUAGUCUUGCGCUGAUUGUAAUCUUCUUCAUGAUCUGUUUUAUACAUUUCUGCCAGAUCAUCAGGUAGAUCCUUUGAAGUUCCCCCACGACACUGUCUGCCACCCUUCCUGACAGAUUUUUCUGCAGCCAUGAACUUCAAACUGAAUGGCUUCAAUAUUUCAAAGGCUUCAAAGGCUUCGCUUGCUGGUUAUACAAGAACUAGCUUCAGGAGAAUCAAUGUGUUGCUGUAAGAAUUCUGCAAAUGAAUGCAGACUAUGAGAACCUAGGGAUUCUCCCAUGGACAUGUACCUGUGACAGCAUUAGAGAUGCGAGGGAAGGGGAAGAGGUCAUAUGCAUUCUCAGAAGAUUUUGAAGAUAAAUCAGUUUGAAGACAUUGACCUCAUGAUGCGAAGACAUUCACUUAUAUGAGGUGAGUUGGUUCUAGAUUUGUACCAAUCCGUGAAUAAGUACAAGUGAGGAAUCAAACUAGAUAGGAAAUCUAAGUGAAUAGACUAGGCAUAAUGAGAUGCAGACAGAAUAGAUCUAACAUUGAGUAGGUAGAAACCACUUUCGGUAAAUAGGAUGAAUCUAUGAAGAUCAAAACGGUGAUAAAAAUAGAGUUAUAAUUACCGCACGAAGAACUGCUAGAAGGGAUGAAUAGGAGACCGAGCAGUUCAGCCCACCGUGCCCUAACUUGGCGACGGAGGACACCUACAGCGAUGGCGGAGAGGACAAUGUCCGCGGCCGGCGUGAGGACGGCGUCGGAGAAGUCGUGGCAGCUAAGCGCUUCGUCGCCGGCAUCAUCGAGAGCUAGCGGUGGCGCUAGGGUUUUGACGAGGUGGAGAGGUGGAAGAAGGGUUUCUUGACCGCAGGGGACACGUAUUUAUAAGUAGGUGUGCGGCACAGUGCAAUUACGCAGGUGCCCCCGUCUGUUCACAUUCGUGGGACAUGUGGCAAGCAUGCAACAUACUUAGAGUUGUCCCACGUUCCCACGCCCACCAAGUUUGUCGGAUGUUCGUUCCGGCUUCUCCGGAUAUCGAUAAUAAAGAUGAAUCAUUUAAAUAGGACUUGAUGUUUGUCUCUGUGUCUUCUGCUGACUAGGACGCAGAGAAGACAUUCGACCGUUUCAAUAGAAUGCAUAUGAUUUGGACAGAUAGAGUUUGAGAUAGAAAGCAUAGAGGGGUUAGGGUCCGAUCACAUUCACUUAGUUCAAAUGAUUCAACUUGAAGACAUAGCUAUAAGUGAAUGCUGUAGAGGACAGAACGCUAGUGUANNNNNNNNNNNNNNNNNNNNNNNNNNNNNNNNNNNNNNNNNNNNNNNNNNNNNNNNNNNNNNNNNNNNNNNNNNNNNNNNNNNNNNNNNNNNNNNNNNNNNNNNNNNNNNNNNNNNNNNNNNNNNNNNNNNNNNNNNNNNNNNNNNNNNNNNNNNNNNNNNNNNNNNNNNNNNNNNNNNNNNNNNNNNNNNNNNNNNNNNNNNNNNNNNNNNNNNNNNNNNNNNNNNNNNNNNNNNNNNNNNNNNNNNNNNNNNNNNNNNNNNNNNNNNNNNNNNNNNNNNNNNNNNNNNNNNNNNNNNNNNNNNNNNNNNNNNNNNNNNNNNNNNNNNNNNNNNNNNNNNNNNNNNNNNNNNNNNNNNNNNNNNNCGAAUCAUCAUAGCGCAGAAAAUCAUGAAGAUAAAUUGAAACUGAAGACAAACCAAAUGCGAAGUCUUUGCAAAAGUAACGCCAUGAGUGAAACACUUCAAACAGAGAAAUUUGGUGGUGGCGUUACCCACCGUAUAGGAAGUAUUAGACCCAGACAUGGCGCACAAUUAUCGUGGCGCUCCAAAGUCAAAUUCCAUGUUAAUGUAUUCACACUCAGAGUGUAAGUCUUCAUUGAUUGAAGAUAUACCUCACUUCGUGUGUUGCACAUCUAAGUCAUCAACAUGCAUAAGUGUUAGGAUGUGUGCCUGAUUACAGGACAUUUGAGGAUUCCAAGAUAUUUAGCUCACACCGUAACUUGCAAAACCUUUUCUCAUCCAAGGGCUUUGUGAAGAUAUCUGCAAGUUGUUCUUCAGUGUUGACGUGAAUGAUGUCAAUAUCUUUCUUCAUGACAUGAUCUCUGAGAAAAUGAUGACGAAUCUCAAUGUGCUUUGUCUUCGAGUGCUGAACUGGAUUGUUGGCAAUCUUGAUGGCACUCUCGUUGUCGUAGAAGAGAGGUACUUGUUUCAGGUUGAUGCCAUAGUCCUUGAGAGUUUGCUUCAUCCAUAGAAGCUGAGCACAACAGCAUCCAGCAGCAAUGUAUUCAGAUUCAGCAGUUGAGAGUGAUACGCAGUUCUGCUUCUUUGAAGACCAACAGACAAGUGAUCGACCAAGAAAAUGACAUGUUCCUGAUGUUGACUUGCGAUCCACCUUGUCACCAGCAUAAUCAGCAUCCGAGAAUCCAACCAGGUCAAACCUUGAGCCCUUUGGAUACCAUAAUCCGAGUGUUGGGGUGUAAGCCAAAUAUCGAAGAAUUCGCUUCACAACUAAGUGAUGCGAUUCCUUUGGUGCCGCUUGGAAUCGAGCACACAUGCAAACACUAAGCAUAAUAUCUGGCCUAGAUGCACAUAGAUAAAGUAAAGAACCAAUCAUGGAGCGGUAUACCUUUUGAUCGAACUCUUUACCAUUGUCGUCGGGACCAAGGUGGUGUUUGGCUGGCAUUGGCGUCGUAUAACCUUUGCAGUCUUCCAUUCCAAACUUCUUCAGACAAUCUUUGAGGUACUUUUCUUGAGAUAUGAAGAUGCCAUUGCUUUGCUGACGAAUUUGAAGACCAACGAAGAACUUCAGUUCUCCCAUCAUGGACAUCUGAUAUUGCUCUUGCAUCAUGUAUCCAAACUCAUCACUAUACUUCUGGUUGGUGCAGCCGAAGAUAAUGUCAUCCACAUAUAUUUGGCACACAAACAGUUCGCCAUCAUAUGUCUUCGUGAAGAGUGUGGGAUCGAGGGAUCCUGGUUUGAAGCCUUUGCUCUUCAGGAAGUCUUUGAUCGUAUCAUACCAUGCGCGAGGAGCUUGUUUGAGGCCAUACAGUGCUUUGUUUAGCUUGUACACCAUAUCAGGAUGUUUUGGAUCUUCAAAGCCAGGUGGUUGAGCGACAUAUACUUCUUCUUCAAUCUUGCCAUUGAGAAAUGCACUCUUCACAUCCAUUUGAUAUAGCAAAAUGUUGUGAUGAUUAGCAUAGGCUAGCAGUAUGCGAAUAGCUUCAAGCCUAGCAACAGGAGCAAAUGUUUCAUCAAAGUCAAAUCCUUCAACUUGAGUAUAUCCUUGAGCCACAAGACGUGCUUUGUUUCUGACGACUUGACCGUGCUCAUCUUGCUUGUUUUGAUAUAUCCAUUUUGUUCCUAUAAUGUUAUGCUUGCGAGGGUCAGGUCGCUUGACAAGUUCCCAAACAUUAUUCAGCUUGAACUGUUGAAGUUCUUCUUGCAUGGCUUGAAUCCAUUCAGGUUCCAUAAAAGCUUCAGCAACUUUCUUGGGUUCAGAUAUUGAUACAAAUGAAAAAUGCCCACAGAAAUUUUCUAACUGUGUUGCUCUUGAUCGAGUAAGCGGACCAGGCGCAUUGAUGCUAUCAAUUAUCUUCUCAAUUUGUACUUCAUUUGCAACACGAGGAUGAACUGGACGAAGACCUUGCUCAUGCUGAUCAUUGUCAUCAUUGGAAGGAUUGUCUUCGGUCUGAGCAUUGUCUUCAGGUUGGUUUGGUGCAGAAAUGAUAAGUUCCUCUUCAGGCUGUGCUUCAGAGGGCAUGAUUUCACCAGUUCCCAUCAGCUUGAUAGAUUCACUAGAAGGAGCUUCAUCAAGUGUGCUUGGCAGAAGCUCUCGUUGUGAACCAUUGGUUUCAUCAAAUCGCACAUCCACUGUUUCAACGAUUUUGUAGUGGAAGAGGUUGAAGACUCUGUAAGAGUGUGAAUCCUUUCCAUAGCCAAGCAUGAAGCCUUCGUGAGCUUUGGGUUCAAAUUUUUACUUGUGAUGGGGAUCCUUGAUCCAGCAUCUAGCACCAAAGACUCUGAAGUAAUUGACAUUUGGCUUCUUGCCAGUAAGGAGCUCAUAGGAUGUUUUGCCCAGAAGCUUAUGGAUGUAGACACAGUUGAUGAUGUGACAAGCUGUAUCAAUAGGUUCAGGCCAGAACUUUCUUGGUGUCUUGUACUCGUCGAGCAUUGUUCGAGCCAUCUCAAUGAGGGUUCUGUUCUUGCGCUCAACAAUGCCAUUUUGCUGAGGUGUGUAAGGAGCAGAAAAUUCAUGAGUGAUUCCCAUUGUAUCCAAAUAAAGAUCAAGGCCGUUGUUCUUGAAUUCAGUGUCGUUAUCACUUCUGAUAUGCUUGAUCUUGACGCCAUAAUUGUUCAUUGCUCGAUUGGCGAAUCGUCUGAAGACAUCUUGUACUUCAGUCUUGUAGAGAAUUAUGUGCACCCAUGUAUAUCUUGAGUAGUCAUCAACAAUGACGAAGCCAUAGAGACACGCCAUUGUUGUGAGGGUGGAGUAGUGAGUAGGUCCAAAUAAGUCCAUGUGUAGCAGCUCGAAGGGUUGAGAUGUUGUCAUGAUUGUCUUCGAGGGGUGCUUGGCCCUCGUCAUCUUCCCAGCUUCGCAAGCACCACACAAAUGAUCUUUCUUGAACUUGACACCUUCGAUGCCUAUGACAUGCUUCUUCUUGACGAGAGUGUGUAAGUUCCUCAUGCCAGCGUGCCCCAGCCUUCGAUGCUAGAGCCAGCAUUCUGAAGCUUUUGCAAGAAGACAUACGGCAAGCUGUGGACCUGCUGAGAAAUCUACCAUGUAUAGAUCACCUUUCCUAUACCCUUCAAAGACUAGAGACUUGUCAGAUUCCAUUAGUAUAAGGCAACGAUAUUUUCCAAAUAUCACAAUCAUGUUUAAGUCACAAAGCAUUGAGACAGACAUUAAGUUGAAUCCAAGGGAUUCAACAAGCAUCACUUUAUCCAUGUGUUGAUCCUUUGAGAUUGCAACUCUACCUAGACCCAAUACCUUGCCUUUACCAGUGUCAGCAAAUGUGAUUUGACUCUUGUCGGAUGGACGUAAGGUUGAGUCCAUGAGAAGACUUUGAUCACCAGUCAUAUGAUUAGUGCAUCCGCUGUCAAUAAUCCAUUCUGAAGCUUUUGGUGACAUGCCCUACAGUGCAGUUAGGAGGAUAGGCUUCACAAGGUAUGUUGUGAAGCAUAAGCUGUUGAUGCACACUUGGAUUAUCACAUCAUAGAUGAAAGUUAGCACACAGUAUGAUAGGUAAGCGAUUCAUAUGUGGAAUACAUAGUAAGUCAUUUUAUCAUGCGUCCCUUUGUGUUUUAGGUCCCCAGCAAUUAUAUCGGACGCCUUUGAUUGCUGGCUGGAGACCACAUUCUGCAAAAGAGAGUUAAUUCUUCUUCACCACCCACAUUUUCAGGGGUGGCUUAGAAGCAAUGAGUCUAAGUGCAGCAUCUGAGAAUUUCGGCUUUGAAGCCCUAGCAAAUAGCCUUGCAGGAGAUGAAUGAUACUCAUGUGAAUAAGCAGAAAAGUUCUUAGUUCUAUGAACAUAGCGGUUUGAAGACACACGCUCAUAUUCAUGAGUCUGAGUAUGAUUUCCCUGCAAAACAUUGGCGUUAGGGUGACUCAAGUGAGUCCUGUGUUCGUAUGAAGCCGUUAGACCAUAUGAUGCCUUUGGUCUGGGGUUUGUCUUCUUCCCUGGUGGUGUCAUGAUGACAUUCACUGGAAGAUUCUCAAGGCAGCUUUUGGGAACCCAGAUCUUCUUCAUAGGAGGUCCAUUCCUGCAGUUAGUACCAAUAUACCUGGCAAACACUUCACCAUUCUGAUUUUUGAACAGUUUAUAGUCUGCAUCAAAGGAUUCAUCAAUGAUAAUAGGAUUACCACAGGUAAAUCCAGAUAAAGUGGAUGGAUCCACUGAAGGUUCCUUUGCAGCAACCCAUGUGGUUUUGGGAUACUGCUCAGGCUUCCAGUAGGAACCAUCAACAUUCAUUUUCCUCUCGAACCCAACACCCUCUUUCCUAGGGUUUCGGUUCAGAAUAUGCUUUUUGAGGACAUCACAAAGUGUGUGAUGCCCUUUCAGACUUUUAUACAUCCCUGUUUCAAGCAAUGUCUUCAACCUAGCAUUUUCAUCAGCAAUAGUAGUGGUAUCCUCAGAUGAGGGGUUAGUUACCACAUCAGUAGUUGAAGACAGAGCAACAGUAGCAGUAGUGGAACACUCAGCAACAGAGGCAGCGUUAUCAUGCUCAAUGCAUUUUAGACAUGGUGGUUCAAAUUCAUCCUGAGCGGGACUGAUCUGUUGAGCGCGAAAUGAAUCGUGCUUCUUCAGAAGAACUUCAUAAUCCACUCUUAUCUUUUCAAGAUCUUGCUCUCUUUGAAGACAUUCAGAAGAAAGUUUCUCAUGAUCAGACAAGAGAGCAAUAUGUUGAUCUUGAAGGGCGUCAAACUUGGAAUGAAGUCUCUGAAGACUCUCAGCCAAAGCUUUUGACUGAUCCAUUUCUUCGCCCAACAUAUCAUCGCUCUUACUAAGCAUGUUUUGAAUCUUUUCCAAAGCUCUUUGUUGUUUAGUGGCAAGGGAAGCAAGUUUGACAUAGCUGGGGCCAAAUUCAUCACCUGAUUCAUCAUCACUAGUUUCAGAAGGAUAGCAUUCAGUUACCUUAGCACCCCCUGCUAUGAGGCAUGGUGAAGAUGAAGACAGUUCAGAUGGAAAGGUCAUCUCUUUAAGAGACUCCUUGUAGUCAUCAAGCCAAGGAUCAUGAUGAUUAAGAUGACUAUCAUAGACCUUUGAAAGCCAGUCCCAGAUUAGCUUCGCGUGAUUGAGGUGCAUGACGUUCCUGAACUGGUUUCGGGACAGGCAGGAGCAGAUGACAUCCUUCGCUGUGAGGUUCAGUAGAGUGUACUUGUGAAUGUCAUCAGCCUCCGCCAUCUUGCAGAGAUCAGUAAGACCAAUCUCGGUGACGGUCCACAGUUCGCUGUCCAUAGCCAUGAGUCACUUCUUCAUCAUGGCUUUCCACCGAGGAUACUCAUGACCAUCAAAGGUGGGGCAAGAUACAUUCCUCAAUCCUGCAGUCGACAUAGCUAAACUCCAGGUGGUUAAACCGAAUCACACAGAACAAGGGAGUACCUUGCUCUGAUACCAAUUGAAAGUGCUAGUUAUCGACUAGAGGGGGGGGGGUGAAUAGGCGAUUUUUAUCAAAGUCUUCAAAACAUGGAAGUUUCGAAGACAAACAAUAGAAAUAACCUAAUUGAUAUGCAGCGGAAGAUAAACUACAACAAGCAAGCCAUAGUCAAGUAUGCAAUAGCAUUAACGCACGAAGACUAAUAGCCGCUAGGUAGUAGGAUCAGGAUGGAAGAUAGUAUGAAGCCAAUCAACAAUAGUAGUCAAGCAAUGAAGUCAAUCAGAUAAGACAGAUAAGCAAUGACGUCACGAAGACAAACUCAAAGUAAAGGAGGGAAGAGAUAGAACCAGUCACUUGUUGAAGACAAAAGAUUUGUUGGACCAGUUCCAGUUGCUGUGACAACUGUACGUCUGGUUAGGGAGGCUAAGAUUCAACUCAGAAGACCGUGUCUUCACCUUAUUCCCCUUGAGCUAAGGAAACUUAGUCCUCGCCCAAUCACUCUGGUAAGUCUUCAAGGUAGACUUCCAAACCUUCACAGACUUCGUUCACCCGGCAAUCCACAAUGACUCUUGGAUGCUCAGAACGCGACGCCUAACCGGCUGGAGGAUACACAGUCCUCAAGUGUAAUAAGUCUUCAGGUCACACAGACAGAAAGACUUCAGUGACGCCUAACACUCUUUGGCUCUGGGUGUUUGGGCUUUGUCCUCGCAAGGAUUUCUCUCUCAAAGGCUUCGAGGUGGGUUGCUCUCAAAACGACAAAAGCCGUAAACUAACUCUGAGCAGCCACCAAUUUAUGGUGUAGGGGGUGGGCUAUUUAUAGCCACAAGGCAACCCGACCUGAUUUGUCCGAAAUGACCCUGGGUCACUAAGGAACUGACAUGUGUUCCAACGGUCAGAUUUCAAACACACGCGACAACUUUACUUGGGCUACAAGCAAAGCUGACUCAUCCAACUCUGGAUAAGAUUUGCUCUCAUUGUCUUCGCUCAAAGACAUAGGAUUUGGGUUGAGCAUCACUUCAGUCACUCUGACUUAGUUCACUUGGACCCCACUUAACAGUACGGUGGUUCCUAUGACUCAACAAAGAAGAAAAAGGAAACAACGAAACCACACAGUCUUCGCGCUCCAUAGUCUUCACGCAAUGUCUUCUCAUGUCAUAGUCUUCAAUAUGAAUAUCUUCUCAUACCACCAUUGUCUUCAAUGUCUUCAUACAUUUUUAGGGGUCAUCUCCGGUAGGUAAACCGAAUCAAUGAGGGACACUACCUGCGUUAUCCUGCAAUUCUCACAAGCGCAUUAGUCCCUCAACCAACUUUGUCGUCAAUACUCCAAAACCAACUAGGGGUGGCACUAGAUGCAACACUUUUGCUUAUAGACGUAAGCCUUUUGGUUUAUGUAAUGCACCUGCUACCUUUCAAAGAUGCAUGAUGGCUAUAUUCUCUGACUUCUGCGAAAAGAUUUGUGAGGUUUUCAUGGAUGACUUUUCCGUCUAUGGUUCCUCUUUUGGUGAUUGCUUAAGCAAUUUGAUCGAGUUUUGCAGAGAUGUGAAGAAACUAAUCUUGUCUUGAAUUGGGAAAAGUGCCACUUUAUGGUUAAUGAAGGUAUUGUCUUGGGGCACAAAGUUUCUGAAAGAGGUAUUGAAGUUGAUAAAGCCAAGGUUGAUGCUAUUGAAAAGAUGCCAUGUCCCAAGGACAUCAAAGGUAUAAGAAGUUUCCUUGGUCAUGCUGGAUUUUAUAGGAGGUUCAUUAAGGACUUCUCAAAAAAUUCUCGGCUCUGACUAAUUUAUUACAAAAAGAUUUACCAUUUGUCUUUGAUGAUGAUUGUGUAGAAGCAUUUGAAAUACUUAAGAAAGCACUAGUCUCUGCACCUGUUGUUCAGCCACCUGAUUGGAAUUUACCCUUUGAAAUUAUGUGCGAUGCUAGUGAUUAUGCUGUAGGUGCUGUUCUAGGGCAAAGAGUUGAUAAGAAAUUAAAUGUUAUCCAUUAUGCCAGUAAGACUCUAGACAGUGCUCAAAGAAAUUAUGCUACUACUGAAAAGGAACUUUUAGCAGUGGUGUUUGCUUGUGACAAGUUUAGACCUUAUAUUGUUGAUUCCAAAGUUACUAUUCACACUGAUCAUGCUGCUAUUAAAUAUCUUAUGGAAAAGAAGGAUGCAAAACCUAGACUUAUUAGAUGGGUUCUCCUGCUUCAAGAAUUUGAUUUGCAUGUUGUUAAUCGAAAAGGAGCUGAGAACCCCGUUGCAGAUAACUUAUCUAGGUUAGAGAAUGUUCUUGAUGACCCACUACCUAUUGAUGAUAGCUUUCCUGAUGAACAAUUAAAUGUCAUAAGCACUUCUCGUAGCACUCCAUGGUAUGCUGAUUAUGCUAAUUAUAUUGUUGCUAAAUUUAUACCACCUAGCUUCACAUACCAGCAAAAGAAAAAGUUUUUCUAUGACUUGCGACAUUACUUUUGGGAUGACCCACAUCUUUAGAAAGAAGGAGUAGAUGGUGUCAUUAGACGUUGUGUACCUAAGCAUGAACAUGAACAUAUCCUACGCAAGUGUCACUCCGAAGCUUAUGGAGGACACCAUGCUGGAUAUAGAACUGCACAUAAGGUAUUGCAAUCCGGUUUUUAUUGGCCUACUCUCUUCAAAGAUGUCCGUAAGUUUGUUUUGUCUUGCGAUGAAUGUCAAAGAAUUGGUAAUAUUAGUAGACGUCAAGAAAUGCCUAUGAAUUAUUCACUUGUUAUUGAACCAUUUGAUGUUUGGGGCUUUGAUUAUAUGGGACCUUUUCCUGCCUCUAAUGGAUACACACAUAUUUUAGUUGUUGUUUAUUACGUUACUAAGUGGGUGGAAGCUAUUCCAACUAGUAGUGCUGAUCAUAACACUUCUAUUAAAAUGCUUAAGGAAGUUAUUUUUCCGAGGUUUGGAGUCCCUAGAUAUUUAAUGACUGAUGGUGGUUCACACUUUAUUCGUGGUGCUUUCCGUAAGAUGCUUGCUAAAUAUGACAUUAAUCAUAGGAUUGCAUCUCCUUAUCACCCUCAGUCUAGUGGUAAAGUAGAGUUGAGUAAUAGGGAGCUCAAAUUAAUUUUGGAAAAGACUGUUAAUAGGUUUAGAAAGAAUUGGUCCAAGAAACUUGAUGAUGCAUUAUGGGCCUAUAGAAUUGCAUAUAAAAAUCCUAUGGGUAUGUCUCCGUACAAAAUGGUUUAUGGAAAAGCUUGUCACUUACCUCUCGAACUAGAACAUAAGGCAUAUUGGGCUAUUAAAGAGCUCAACUAUGAUUUCAAACUUGCCGGUGAGAAGAGGUUAUUUGAUAUUAGCUCACUUGAUGAAUGGAGAGCCCAAGCUUAUGAAAAUGCCAAGUUGUUUAAAGAAAAGGCUAAAAGAUGGCAUGACAAAAGGAUACAAAAGCGUGAGUUUCAUGUAGGUGAUUAUGUAUUGCUAUACAACUCUCGUUUAAGAUUUUUUGCAGGAAAACUUCUCUCUAAAUGGGAAGGUCCCUACGUUAUCGAGGAGGUCUACCGUUCCGGUGCCAUGAAAAUCAACAACUUCACAGGCACAAAUCCGAAGGUGGUAAACAGUCAAAGGAUCAAACACUAUAUCUCAGGUAAUCCUAUAAAUGUUGAAACUAAUAUUAUUGAAACCAUGACCCCUGAGGAAUACAUAAAGGACACUUUCCAGAAUGUUCUAGACUCCGAAAAGGAAUAGGUAUGUGGUACGGUAAGUAAACCGGCUCCAAAACAAUUUUUAAGGCAAUAUUUCUCCGUUUUGGAAUAUUUAGAAAAAUAGAAAAAUAAGUAGCAGUCCGGGGAGGACACGAGGCCUCCACGAGGGUGGAGGGCGCGCCCUACCCCCUGGGCGCGCCCCCUACCUCGUGAGCACCUCGUGUGCCGUCCGGACUCCGUUUCCUUGCACGGUACGUAUUUUGGUUGGUAAAAAUUCAUUAUAUAUACUCCCAAAGGUUUUGACUCUCGUAUCACGCAAAUCUCCCCUGUUUUUGUUUCGAGCUGUUUUUCUGACAGGUCUAGAUCAUCAUGACGACCCCAAGUGCUUCCAAUGACAAGUUCUUCGAGAAGGUGAUUAACCCUUACCUCGCGGAGGUGCUGAGGCACCCUCAAACCAUUGAGAUGCGUGAUGGGUUGCUGCACAUCCGCGAUGUUGAGGGACCAAAGGGAACCGGAAGUGUGGAGUCGAGGCUCGAAGCAAUGGAGCAACAAGUUUUCAAGUGUCAGGGGAUGGUGGAGCGUGGAAUCAACGCUAGCCACAAGAUGCUCGCGGAGUUCACCAACAACUACGAGCCGGAUGCCAAGAACACAGAGGAGGCCAUCUUUAAGCUACAAGAGAAGGUCAAGCAUCUCCAAGCCCAAAUUUAUGAUCUGUAAAAUCAAAACUAUGAGUAUGAAUAUAGAUUCAAAAGGAUGAGUUUGGCUGCAGAUUUGAGGAUUCCGGAGACUCGGUCAUCCUUCUAUGAUGAAGAGCCUAUGCCGUGGAAGUUGGACGACAAGCCUGCAUCAUCAACAAUACCUCCACCUCCAUCACCUCCGAGGAAAUAAUCACAUGGGUAUGGGCACUCCCCUUGGCAACUGCCAAGCUUGGGGGAGGUGCCCUGGUAUCGUAUCACCAUCUCAACUCCUAUCUUUACAGUUUUUCUUAGUUCGAUCCUAUUAGUAGUAUCUUGAUUUAGUAGAAUAAAUUCAUGGCAUGAUCUAGUUUUGAGUUUUGCUUUACGAUCCUUCUUUGUAAUCGAGUCUAUGAGCUAUAUAGUAAAGAUUAGUGUUGAGUCAAGGGCUUGAAUAUUUUGCCAUGAUCUUGGGUGAUUAGAAGAAAAAGAAUAAAAAGAAUCAAGGAGCUCAUAUUGAUCUUAGUGAAAGUAAUGACUUCACAUAGAGAGAGUAUGAUGAUUAAAAGUUGUUGGGAGUUGGCAAAUAUAGCUUUGGUCAUUGUUGCAAUUAAUAGGAAGUAAUAAGGAAAGAGAGGUUUCACAUAUAGAUAUAUUAUCAUUGACAUCUUUUAUGAUUGGGAGCACUCAUUAAAAUAUGACAUGUUAAAGAGUUGAUGUUGGACAAGGAAGACAACAUAAUGAGUUAUGUUUUCUUACAUCCGAGAUAAAGUAUGUUGUCAUGGAUCCUCUACCGUGUUGAGCUUGCCUUUCCCCCUCAUGCUAGCCAAAUUCUUAGCACCAAGUAGAAAUACUACUUGUGCUUCCAAAUACCCUUAAACUAGUUUUGCCAUGAGAGUCCACCAUAUCUACCUAUGGAUUGAGUAAGAUCCUUCAAGUAAGUUGUCAUCGGUGCAAGCAAUAAAAAUUGCUCUCUAAAUAUGCAUGACUUAUUAGUGCAGAGAAAUAAGCUUUGUACGAACUUGUUGUGAACGCAAUAAAAGCGACGGACUGCAUAAUAAAGGUUCACAUGCAAGGGGCAAUAUAAAGUGACGUUCUUUUGCAUUAAGAUUUUGUGCAUCAACCCUAAACACGCAUGACAACCUCUGAUUCCCUCUGCGAAGGGCCUAUCUUUUAUUAUUAUCCUCUACCUUACAAGAGUCACGGUGAUCCUCACCUUUCCUUUUUCAUUUUAUCCUUUGGCAAGCUCAGCAAGUUGGAAAGAGUAUGAUAUACAUAUCUAAUUGGAUGUAGGGGAUCAUGAAUUAUUAUUGUUGACAUUACCCUUGAGGUAAAAUGUUGUGGGGCAAAACUAUAAGCCCCUAUCUUUCUCUGUGUCCGAUUAAAUCUAUGUAACUACAAAUAUCGCGUGGGUGCUAGCAACUAUGAAGGACUAAGUGAUAGUUGAGUAUGUGGACUUGCUUUUAAGCUCUGACAUAGACUCUUUCCGAUGUUAUGAUAAAUUGCAAUUGCUUCAAUGACUGAGAUUAUAAUUGUUAGUGCCCAAUAAGGUUUCUAAUUCAUGCUUUGGCUUUGUGAAUAGAUCAUCACUGGAACAUGAGUAAUCAUAUGACAAAAUCUAAUUAUGUUGCUGUUAUGAAAUAAUCAUGAUGCCUUCAUGUCCGUAUUUUGUUUUUAUCAAUGCCUCUACCUCUAAACACGAGGACAUAUUUAUUGUUAUCGACUUUUCGCUUGAGGACAAGCGAGGUCUAAGCUUGGGGAGUUGAUACGUCCAUUUUGCAUCAUGCUUUUAUGACAAUACUUAUUGCAUUAUGGGCUGCUAUUUCACGUUAUGUCAAGAUACUUAUGGCUAUUCUCUCUUAUUUUACAAGGUUUGCAUGAAGAGGGAGAAUGCCGGCAGCUGGAAUUCUGGGCUAGAAAAGGAGCAAAUAUUGGAGGCCUAUUCUACGCAACUCCAAAAGUCCUGAAACUCCACGGAAUAUCUUGAAAUAAAUAAAGAAAAAUCGUCGCCAAAUAUGAAGGCCAGGGGGCCCACACCCUGCUCACAAGGGUGGGGGGCGCGCCCCCUACCUCGUGGGCCCCCUGGUGGCUCUCCGACGCCCAUCUUCUCUUAUAUGAAGUCUUUCGAUGAGAAAAAAAUUAAGAGAGAACCUUUUGGGACGAGACUCCGCCGCCACGAGGCGGAACCUGGGCGGAACCAAUCUAGGGCUCUGGCAGAGCUGUUCUGCCGGGGACACUUCCCUCCGGGAGGGGGAAAUCAUCACCACGUCAUCACCAACACUCCUCUCAUCAGGAGAGGGCAAUCUCCAUCAACAUCUUCACCAACACCAUCUCAUCUCUAAACCCUAGUUCAUCUCUUGUAUCCAAUUCUUGUCUCCAAGUCCGGGAUUGGUGCUAGUAGGUUGCUAGUAGUGUUGAUUACUCCUUGUAGUUGAUGCUAGUUGGUUUAUUUGGUGGAAGAUCAUAUGUUCAGAUCCUUUAUGCAUAUUAUUACCCCUCUAAUUAUGAACAUGAAUAUGCUUUGUGAGUAAUUACGUUUGUUCCUGAGGACAAGGGAUAAGUCUUGCUAUUAGUAGUCAUGUGAAUUUGGUAUUCGUUCGAUAUUUUGAUGAGAUGUAUGUUGUCUAACCUCUAGUGGUGUUAUGUGAACAUUGACUACAUAACACUUCACCAUUAUUUGGGCCUAGAGGAAGGCAUUGGGAAGUAAUAAGUAGAUGAUGGGUUGCUAGAGUGAUAGAAGCUUAAACCCUAGUUUAUGCGUUGCUUCAUAAGGGGCUGAUUUGGAUCCAUAUGUUUCAUGCUAUGGUUAGGUUUACCUUAAUACUUUUGUUGUAGUUGUGGAUGCUUGCAAUAGGGGUUAAUCAUAAGUGGGAUGCUUGUCCAAGUAAGGGCAGUACCCAAGCACCGGUCCACCCACAUAUCAAAUUAUCAAAGUACCGAACGCGAAUCAUAUGAGCUGAUGAAAACUAGCUUGAAGAUAUUCCCAUGUGUCCUCGGGGGCGCUUUUUUCUAUUAUAAGAGUUUAUCCAGGCUUGUCCUUUGCUACAAAAAGGAUUGGGCCACCUUGCUGCACCUUGUUUACUUUUGUUACUUGUUACUCGUUACAAUUUAUCUUAUCACAAAACUAUCUUUUACUACUUAUUUCAGUACUUGCAGAGAAUACCUUGCUGAAAACCGCUUAUCAUUUCCUUCUGCUCCUCGUUGGGUUCGACACUCUUACUUAUCGAAAGGACUACGAUAGAUCCCCUAUACUUGUGGGUCAUCAACGGCAUCAGCCCCACGGCCGAGGCCUAAGCGCGUUUCCUUUCUUCCGCAGCGCUGACGCGCAUCCUCAGCCAUGUCUACCGUCGCGACCCCAACGCCGACCUUGAUAGCCUGCUGGAUCCUGUGAGCGGCGAGCUUGCCGCCGCCGCUGCUGAGGCUAUGAAGAGCCGAGCAGAGGCCUUGCUGGCGAAGUUCCGCGCCUUUAGCACCAGGCCCAAGCGAGGUUUUGCCAGCUCCGCGGCUUCGGGAGGUGGAGCUGCCCGGCGUGACCCCACCACAAGCGACGGCGCUGCCAAAAAGUGACCUCUUCGUGGCUUCAACCCUGUUUUAAUUCCUACAACAUGCACCAUGCCUCGUGGAGGCGUUUAAACUUGUGUUUGGCAUUGUGAAAACAACCUAUGGUCUGUAAUAUUUGCUUAUGAAUUUCCAAGGAUUUGCAGUCCCCCCCUAUUUGCUUUGUAUUCUACGUCGGCAGGGCCCGGCCCCGCGCAUACCUCAGCCGCCGUUAGCCCCGACCAGAAACCAGGAUAGAACCAACGAGUGAGGGGCUACAUGACCAGUUAGGCUCCUGAGUCGCGAUGCUCAGGAGACCCCCUUGACGCGCGAACAACUAAUAGGGAAGGGAGGUGUUGGAGUGGAUUUGUCGUUCUACGUCGGCAGGGCCCGGCCCCACGCAUACCUCAACCACCGUUAGCCUUUCAGAACUAAGGGGUGAGGGGCUACGUGACCAGUUAGGCUCUUGAGUCGCGAUGCUCAGGAGUCCCCCUUGACGCUCAAACGGUCUUCGUACCUUGGCUCCGCUCGGGGAGGGGCGCGCGACGACCAGGUCCGAGGGACCUGGCUGGGUGGCGUGCGCUCAGGCGUGGCCCGGGCACAGCCCCCGUGUCCAGCCCCCUCACGCGGCGCUCCCGAGGGGAGGCAUUAUGAUAGGGCCGGACACUGAGCUCUGGGCUCCCUGAGGUUGAUGCGGCUGUGGGCUGCCCUCAGUUGUUUAUCACCAGCGCGGAGCAUAGCGCUUCCGUAUGUGUACGGGCAUAGCCGCUCCUCGACAGUGUCGUCAGCCAGCACAGAGCAUGGUGCUUCCACUGGUGCGUGGGAGGGGGCUCCCCUCCAGGAGGAGCCCCCGGGGCGUGUACAGCCCCGCCCCGACACGUGGCUGGCACGGUAGGGCUAGACGAGGUGUAUUUGGGCACCCGUGAGCCAGCGCGGGACUCACGGGGCCCUACCUCAAGGCGGGUUGCGCCUGGCUCUGGGACUUUGUUGGUGGUACGUACCUGCAAGGUUGGUUAGAUUCCAAUACUCUAUGUCCUCAGGUCCCGGCCCUCGAGCGAGUUCAGCCAUCGCUGGUAUGCCAGGUCACGAUGCCGUGGACAAGGCCAGGAGGUGAGGGUUCAAGAGCCAGUAAGAGCCCAUGAGUGGCGAUGCUCAGGUGCCCCCCUUUUAACGUGCAAGCGAUUAGCAUGAAGGAGAAAAGGGGCCUGUGGUAGGCAACAGACGAUAAUGCAGCCCGAGCGGGUCAAAUGUGUGAGGCACACGACCUAGAUAAAUGCGGGAAAGAUACAUGCCACCGGGUCAGGCCCGAGCGGCUUGGGGAUAAUGCAGCCCAAGGGGCGCCCCCAACAAGGUAAACUAGAGAUAUGAGCAAAAGAGAUAGCCACAGGGAUGGACCCACGUGACCUGGGAAUGAUGCAGCCCUGGGGGCGCUCCCAGUUGAAACGGAACUUGAAAGAUGUCACCUGAUACUGUGAAGACGAACGAGCGUUGGAGUAGCGGACGACGCGCAGUGAGGAAGCCGACCCUCACGAGCCCCUAGGGCCCUGAGCCUCGGGAGGCUCCGGGGGCCCAGGCGGCUCCUCGAGGACCAUCUCCAUCUCCGCCAGGACCGCGCAGUGCUUGACCUCUUGAGCUUCCAAAAUGCUUCGCACCAGGCGCUGAUGAGCAGCAGCCGUGUUCGGCAGGCCGAGAGGCAUGCGAACGUAGCUGUGAGGCGGACCCUCGCAACGUCCCACGCGCGAAGGCCAGAGGCGCUCCUGAGAAGCGGCUCGGUUGAGCCCUGGUACAUCGAUGCAGACGCGUAGCCGACCAUCCUCGCCUGGAUGGGGAGCUUUGGUGGGUAAGCGGCGGCUGUCGCGCAUGACUCUUGACUACUUCUUGAGGGAAGCGUGCCAUGAAGCACGCCUCCAAGUGGUGCCCGAGCACCUCCCUCGUGAUCUUGGCAAAGUCAGUGGCCCUCCAGGAGAGGGCCCCCGAGCCUUGCCCGAGGAGGACGCCGGGCGUGCCUUCCUAUGCGACGGAGGGAUGCACCCCUUGAACGGGCGCGGAUCCUGACGCCGUGCCACUAGAGGUGCAAGCCUCCGGAGGGCCUGUGCCAGGUGCUGUCUUCUUCUUCUUGGGAACUACCUCGGGAAGGCUCCCGCUCCUGCGAUCUGGGUCUUCGAUUGACGCGGCCUGGAAGACACGCUCGAGAGAACACACUGUGUCCUUCUCCUCACAGGGGACUCUGAUGACCCCACCACUUCCUGGCAUAUUGAGGACAUUGUAGCCAUGAUGAGUUGAUGACCCACAAGUGUAGGGGAUCUAUCGUAGUCCUUUUGAUAAGUAAGAGUGUCCAACCCAACGAGGAGCAGAAGGAAAUGAUAAGCGGUUUUCAGUAAGGUUUUCUCUGCAAGCACUGAAAUAAUAGGUGAUAGAUAGUUUUGUGAUAAGAUAAAUAGUAACGAGCAAAAAGUAAAUAAAGUAAAUAAAGUGCAGCAAGGUGGCCCAAUCCUUUAUGUAGCAAAGGAUAAGCCUGGACAAAUUCUAAUAAUGAAGAAGAAGCUCCCGAGGACACAUUGGGAAUUAUCAUCAAGCUAGUUUUCAUCACGUACAUAAGAUUCGCGUUCGGUACUUUGAUAAUUUGAUAUGUGGGUGGACCGGCACUUGGGUACUGCCCUAACUUGGACAAGCAUCCCACUUAUGAUUAACCCCUAUUGCAAGCAUCCGCAACUACAAAAAGGAGUAUUAAGGUAAACCUAACCACAACAUUAAACAUAUGGGUCCAUAUCACCCCCUAACGAAGCAACGCAUAAACUAGGGUUUAAGCUUCUGUCACUCUAGCAACCCAUCAUCUACUUAUUACUUCCCUAUGCCUUCCUCUAGGCCCAAAUAAUGGUGAAGUCUCAUGUAGUCGACAUUCACAUAACACCACUAGAGGAAAGACAACAUACAUCUCAUCAAAAUAUCAAACGAAUACCAAAUUCACAUGACUACUAAUAGCAAGACUUCACCCAUGUCCUCAGGAACAAACGUAACUACUCACAAAGCAUAUUCAUGUUCAUAAUCAGAGGAGUAAUAAUAUGCAUAAAGGAUCUAAACAUAUGAUCUUCCACCAAGUAAACCAAUUAGCAUCAACUACAAGGAGUAAUCAACACUACUAGCAACCCACAUGUACCAAUUUGUGGUUUUGAUACAAGAUUGGAUACAAGAGAUGAACUAGGGUUUUGAGAGGAGAUGGUGCUGGUGAAGAUGUUGUGGAGAUUGACCCCCUCCCGAUGAGAGGAUCAUUGGUGAUGACGUUGGUGAUGAUUUCUCCCUCCCGGAGGGAAGUGUCCCCAGCAGAACAGCUCCGCCAGAGCCCUAGAUUGAUUCCGCCAAGGUUCCGCCUCGUGGCGGCGGAGUUUCAUCCCGUAAGCUUGCCCACGAUUUUUUCCAGGGUAAGAGUGAUGAUAUAGCAGAAGAUGGACGCUGGAGGCCCACCAGGGGGCCCAGGAGAUAGGGGGUCGCGCCCUACAGGAGGUGGCGCGCCCUCCUAUCUCCUGGACAGGGUGUGGGCCCCUGGCCUAUUUCUUUCGCUCAUAAAUUCUUAAUAAAUCCAAAAAGUUGUUUCGUGGAGUUUCAGGACUUUUGGAGUUGUGCAAAAUAGGUUUCCAACGUUUGCUCCUUUUCCAGCCAGAACGCCAGCUGCCGGCAUCCCCCCUCUUCAUGGUAAACCUUGUAAAAUAAGAGAGAAUAGCCAUAAGUAUUGAGAUAUAAUGUGUAAUGACAGCCCAUAAUGCAAUAAAUAUUGAUAUAAAAGCAUGAUGCAAAAUGGACGUAUCAACUCCCCCAAGCUUAGACCUCGCUUGUCCUCAAGCGAAAGCCGAAAUCGAAAAAUAUGUCCACAUGUUUAGAGAUAGAGGUGUCGAUAAAAAUAAAGUACGGACAUGAGGGCAUCAUGAUCAUUCUAAUAACAGUAACAGAUAUAGAUUUUGUCAUCCGAUUUCCUAUGCUCAAGUAAUAAGCAAUUCACAAUGUCAAGUAUGGUUCGUAAACUUCAUUGGGAACUAACAAACUAUAAUCUCAGUCAUUGAAGCAAUUGCAAUUUAUCGUAACAUCAGAAAGAUUCAAUAAUAGAGCUUUUCAACAAGCUCACGUACUCAACUAUCUCGUAAUCUCCCAUAAUUGCUAACACUCACGCAAUACUUGUGGUUAUAUAGUUUCAGUCGGACACUGAGAAAGAUAGGGGCUUAUUGUGUUGCCUCCCGACGUAUUCACCUUUAGGUGAUGUCAACAAUAAUAGCCUAUGCCAACUUACAUCCAAUUGGAUAUAUGUAUCAUGAUCUUUCAAACACGAGGAGCUUGCCAAAGGAUAAAAUGAAAAAGGGGAAAGGUGAGGAUCACCUUGACUCAAGCAUAAAGUAAAAGAUAGGACCUUCGCGGAGGGAAGCAGAGGUUGUCAUGCGCGUUUAGGGUUGAUGCAUGAAAUCUUAAUGCAAAAGAAUGUCACUUUAUAUUGCCCCUUGUAUGUGGACCUUUAUUAUGCAAUCCGUCGCUUUUAUUACUUCCACAACAAGUUCGUACAAAGCUUAUUUUCUUUGCACUAAUAAGUCAUACAUAUUUAGAGAGCAAUUUUUAUUGCUUGCACCGAUGACAACUUACUUGAAGGAUCUUACUCAAUCCAUAGGUAGGUAUGGUGGACUCUCAUGGCAAAACUGGGUUUGAGGAUAUUUUGAAGCACAAGUAGUAUCCCUACUUGGUGCAAGGAAUUUGGCUAGCAAGAGGGGGAAAGGCAAGCUCAAUAUGUUUGGAAGGUCAAUGACAAUAUACUUUAACUGAGAUGCCAGAAAACAUAAACCAUUACGUUGUCUUCCUUGUCCAACAUCAACUCUUUUAGCAUGUCAUACUUAAUGAGUGCUUCACAAUCAUAAAAGAUGUCCAAGACAAUAUAUUUAUAUGUGAACCCCUCUUUCCUUAUCACUUCCUAUUAAUUGCAACGAUGACCAAGGCUACGUUCAUCAACUCUCAACAAUUUUUAUGCCUCAUACUUUCUAUGUGUGAAGUUAUCACUAUCCAUAAGAUCAAUAUGAACUCUUUUGUUCUUUCUAUUUUCUUAAGAUCAUAGCAACAUAGCAAAGCCCUUGACUCAACACUAAUCUUUAUUAUAGAUAGCACACGGACUCGCUUACAUAAAGAGAUCACAAUGCAAAACUCAAAACCACUUGAUAUCAAAACUUCAAUCUACUAGAUCAAGAUACUACUAAAAGGAUCGAACUAAAUAAAGCGGUAAAGAUAGGAGUGUGAUGGUGAUACGAUACCGAGGCACCUCCCCCAAGCUUGGCAGUUGCCAAGGGGAGUGCCCAUACCCAAGUGAUUAUUUCUUCGGAGGUGGUGAAGUGGGAAUUGUUGAUGAUGUAGGCUUGUCGUCCGUCUUCCAAGGCAUAUGCUCUCCAUCAUAAAAGGACGAUCGAGUCUCCGGGAUCCUUAAAUCUGCAGCCAAACUCAUUCGCUUGAAUCUAUAUUCAUACUCAUAGUUCUGGUUUUGCAGGUCAUAAAUCUGGGCUUGGAGGUGCUCGAUUUUCUCUUGAAGCUUGAAGAUGGUCUCCCCAAUGACUUUGGCAUCCAGCUUGUGGUUGUUGGUGAACUCCAUGAUCAUCAUCUGGUUGGCGUUGAGUCCACGCUCCACCAUCCCUUAAGACUUGAAAACUUCUUGCUCCAUGGCUUCGAGCUUUGUCUCCAUGCUCCCGGUACACCUUGGUCCCUCCACAUCACGGAUGUGCAGCACCCCCUCAUGCAUCUCAAUAGUUUGAGGGUGAUGCAGCACCUUCGCGAGAUAGGGGUUGAUAACCCUCUCGAAAAACUUGUCCUUGGGAGCACUUGGAGACGACAUGAUGCUCUAGAUCUGAAACAGAAAUAGCUCAAAACGAAAACAGAGGAUAUUUGCAUGAUACGGUGGUCAAACCUUCGGGAGUAUAUAUAAUGAAUUUUUACCGACCAAAAUACGUAACAUACAAGAAAACGGAGUCCGGGAGGCACACGAGGUGCCCACAAGACAGGAGGGUGCGCCCUAUAGGGGGGGGGUUCCUCUCUCGUGGGAGCCUCGUGUCCCUUUCGGACUACUUCUUUCUUCCUAAAAUUCUUAAAUAAUCCAAAACUGAUAAAAAAAUGGCAUUAGAGUUGUUUUGGAGUCGGUUUACUUACCGUACCACGUACCUAUGCCUUUCCGGGGUCUGGAAUGUUCUGGAAAGUGUCUCUUAUGUAUUCCUCGGGGGUUAUGGUUUCAAUAAUAUUAGUUUCAACAUUGAUAGGAUUACUUGAAAUAUAAUGUUUAAUUCUUUGACCGUUAACCACCCUCGGAUUUGUGCCUUCGAAGUUGUUGAUUUUUAUAGCACCAGAACGAUAGACCUCCUUGAUAACGUAGGAACCUUCCCAUUUUGAGAGAAGUUUUGCUGCAAAAAAUCUUAAACGAGAGUUGAAUAAUAACACAUAAUCUCCUAUGUUAAACUCACGCUUUUGUAUCCUCUUAUCAUGCCAGCGUUUGACUUUUUCUUUGAAAAGCUUGGCAUUCUCAUAUGCUUGGGUUCUCCAUUCAUCAAGUGAGCUAAUAUCAAACAACCUCUUCUCGCCGGCAAGUUUGAAGUCAUAAUUGAGCUCUUUAAUAGCCCAAUAUGCUUUAUGUUCAAGUUCAAGAGGUAAAUGACAUGCUUUUCCAUAAACCAUCUUAUAUGGAGACAUACCCAUAGGAUUUUUGUAUGCAGUUCUAUAGGCCCAUAAUGCAUCAUCAAGUUUUUUGGACCAAUUCUUUCUAGAUCUAUUCAUAGUCUUUUGCAAAAUUAAUUUGAGCUCUCUAUUGCUCAACUCUACUUGACCACUAGACCGCGGGUGAUAAGGAGAUGCGAUUCUAUGAUUGACAUCAUACUUAGCAAGCAUCUUACGGAAAGCACCAUGAAUAAAGUGUGAACCACCAUCAGUCAUAAGAUAUCCAGGGACUCCAAACCUCAGAAAAAUAACUUCUUUAAGCAUUUAGAAGUGUUAUGAUCAGCACUACUAGUUGGAAUAGCUUCUACCCACUUAGUAACGUAAUCAACAUCAACUAAAAUAUGUGUAUAACCAUUGGAGGCAGGAAAAGGUCCCAUAUAAUCAAAGCCCCAAACAUCAAAGGGUUCAAUAACAAGAGAAUAAUUCAUAGGCAUUUCUUGACGUCUACUAAUGUUACCUAUUCUUUGACAUUCAUCACAAGAUAAGACAAACUUAUGAGCAUCUUUGAAGAGAGUAGGCCAAUAAAAACCAGAUUGUAGUACCUUGUGUGCAGUUCUAUCUCCAGCGUGGUGGCCUCCAUAAGAUUCAGAGUGACACUUGCGUAGGAUUUGUUCCUGUUCAUGCUCAGGCACACAAUGUCUAAUAAUACCAUAUCUCCUUCUUUAUAAAGAUGUGGAUCAUCCCAGAAGUAAUGUCUUAAAUCAUAAAAGAACUUUUUCUUUUGCUGGUAUGUGAAACUAGGCGGUAUAUAUUUAGCAACAAUGUAAUUAGCAUAAUCAGCAUACCAAGGAGCAGUGCGAGAAGCAUUGACAACCGCUAAUUGUUCAUCAAGAAAACUAUCAUUAAUAGGCAGUGGGUCAUCAAGAACAUUCUCUAACCUAGACAAGUUGUCUGCAACGGGGUUCUCAGCUCCCUUUCUAUCAAUAAUAUGCAAGUCAAAUUCUUGGAGCAAGAGAACCCAUCUAAUGAGUCUAGGCUUAGCAUCUUUCUUUUCCAUAAGAUAUUUAAUAGCAGCAUGAUCAGUGUGAAUAGUAACUUUGGAAUCAACAAUAUAAGGUCUAAACUUAUCACAUGCAAACACAACUGGUAAGAACUCUUUUUCAGUAGUAGCAUAAUUUCUCUGGGCAGUAUCAAGAGUCUUACUAGCAUACUGGAUAACAUUCAAUUUCUUAUCGACUCUUUGCCCUAAAAUAGCACCUACAGCAUAAUCACUAGCAUCGCACAUAAUUUCAAAAGGUAAAUUCCAAUCAGCUGGCUGAACAAUAGGUGCAGUGAUCAAGGCUUAAGUGUUUCAAAUGCUUCUACACAAUCAUCAUCAAAGACAAAAGGAAUAUCUUUUUGCAAUAAAUUAGUCAAAGGCCUAGAGAUUUUAGAAAAGUCCUUAAUGAACCUCCUAUAAAAGCCGGCAUGACCAAGGAAACUUCUUAUACCUUUUAUGUCCUUAGGACAUGGCAUCUUUUCAAUAGCAUCAACUUUGGCUUUAUCAACUUCAAUACCUCUCUCGGAGAUCCUGUGCCCCAAGACAAUGCCUUCAUUAACCAUAAAGUGACACUUUUCCCAAUUCUGGAUGAGACUAGUGUCUUCGCAUCUCUGCAAAACUCGAUCAAGGUUGCUCAAACUAUCAUCAAAAGAGGAUCCAUAGACGGAGAAGUCAUCCAUGAAUACCUCACAAAUCUUUUCACAAAAAUCAGAAAAUAUAGCCAUCAUGCAUCUUUGAAAGGUAGCAGGUGCAUUACAUAAACCAAAAGGCAUACGUCUAUAAGCAAAAGUACCAAAAGGGCAAGUAAAAGUAGUUUUAGAUUGAUCCUUCGCGGACACAUGUAUUUGAGAGAAGCCAGAAUAACCAUCUAGAAAGCAAAAAUGUGUGUGUUUGGAUAGCCUUUCUAGCAUUUGAUCAAUAAAAGGUAAAGGGUAAUGAUCUUUCUUAGUAGCUUUAUUUAACUUACGGAAAUCAAUUACCAUCCUAUAGCCUGUAAUAAUUCUUUGUGGGAUCAAUUCAUCUUUAUCAUUAGGAACAACGGUAAUACCUCCCUUUUUAGGGACACAAUGGACAGGGCUUACCCAUUCACUAUCAACAACGGGAGAAAUAAUACCUGCCUCAAGGAGUUUUAGAAUCUCCUUUCUUACCACUUCCUUCAUUUUGGGGUUUAAUCGUCUUUGAGGAUCUCUAACUAGUUUGGCAUCUUUCUCCACUGAAAUUUUGUGUUGACAUAAUGUGGGACUAAUGCCCUUAAGAUCGUCCAGAGUAUAUCCAAUAGCAGCUCGGUGCUUCUUCAGAGUUUUCAAUAAUCUUUCUUCUUCUUUCUCUGAAAGGUUAGCACUAAUAAUAACAUGAUAUAUUUCUUUUUCAUCAAGAUAAGGAUACUUGAGAUUAUCAGGUAAGGGUUUGAGUUCGAACACGUGAUCACCCUUGGGUGGAGGGGGAUCCCCAAGAAUUUCAACAGGAAGGUUAUGUUUUGGCAUAGGUUCUUGUUUAAGGAACACUUCAUCUAUUUCUUCCCUUUCCUUCAUAAACAUAUCGUUUUCAUGGUCUAACAAAUAUUGUUCUAACGGAUCAGUUGGAGGAACAACAAUGGAAGCAAGACCAAUAAUUUCAUCCUUACUAGGUGGUUCCCUUUCACGAGGUUGUCUACUAAACUUAGCGAAAUUAAACUCAUGAGACAUACCAUCUAUGCCAACAGUGACGAUAUUCUUUUCACAAUUAAUCUUAGCACUAGCAGUAUUCAAGAAGGGUCUACCAAAAAUAAUGGGACAAAAAUCAUCUUGUGGGGAACCAAGAACAAGAAAAUCAGCAGGGUAUUUAAUCUUCCCACACAAGACUUCAACAUCUCUAACAAUCCCAAUAGGUUUAAUGGUGUCCCUAUUAGCAAGCUUAAUAGUAACAUCAAUGUCUUCUAAUUCAACAGGUGCAAUCUCGUGCAUAAUUUCUUUAUAAAGAUCAUAAGGUAUCGCAUUAGCACUAGCACCCAUAUCACAUAAGCCAUGAUAACAAUGAUCUCCUAUUUUAACAGAAAUAAUAGGCGUGCCUACAACAGGUCUACGUGUCUUAGUAUCGGGUCUAGCAAUAUUAGCAGUUUCACCCAAGAAAGAGAUAACAUGCCCAUCUAAGUCCUCAUCCAAGAGAUCUUUAAUCAUAGCAAUACCAGGUUCAACAUUAAUUUGCUCAGGAGGUGUAUAAGUCCUAGUAUUACUCUUACGAACAAGAGUCGAAGCUUUAACAUGAUCUUUUAUCCUAACAGGAAAAGGAGGUUUUUCGACAUAAGCAGUAGGAAUAAUAGGAUCACUAUAUGUAGUAGUCUUUUCUUCAACUGUAAUAGGUGCAACUACUUUCACUUCAAGAGGAGGAUUAUAUUUAAACCACUUCUCUUUAGGGAGAUCAACGUGAGUAGAAAAAGUUUCACAAAAAGUAGCUACUAUCUCAGAGUCAAGUCCAUACUUAGAGCUAAAUCCACGGAAAGCAUCGGUAUCCAUAAAAGAUUUAACACAAUCGAACUUAGGUGUCAUACCUGACUCCUUACCAUCGUCGGAACCCCAAUCUUCAUAGUUGCGUUUAAUCCUUUCCAAUAAGUCCCAUUUGAAAUCAAUAGUCUUCAGCAUAUAGGAACCAGCACAGGAAGUAUCGAGCAGGUUGCGAUUAUCAAGAGAAAGUCGAGCAUAAAAAUUCUGAAUAAUCAUUUCCCGAGAGAGCUCAUGAUUGGGGCAUGAAUAUAACAUUGACUUAAGCCUCCCCAAGCUUGAGCGAUGCUUUCUCCUUCGCGAGGCCAGAAAUUAUAUAUGUAAUUACGAUCACGAUGAACAAGAUGCAUAGGAUAGAACUUCUGGUGAAAUUCCAACUUCAGUCACUUAUAAUUCCAAAAUCUCGUAUCAUCACAUAGCCUAUACCAUGUCAUUGCAUCUCCCUUCAAAGAUAAGUGGAAGACCUUCCUUUUGACAACAUCAUCGGGGAUACCUGCAAGCUUAAAUAAUCCACAAACUUCAUCCACAAAGAUAAGGUGUAAAUCGGGAUGCAAUGUUCCGUCUCCUGCAAAGGGAUUAGCCAACAGUUUUUCUAUCAUACCCGAAGGAAUCUCAAAGUGAAUAUUUUCAUAAGGUUCAGUAGGUUGAGGAGCAUCUUUUUGCUCUUCUGGUUGGGGUGAAGAUACCCCAAACAAGCCCCUCAAAGGAUUAGUUUCCAUAGUGACAAGUAACAGAAAAUUUCAGCACACUAUAUAAAUGUUUCCUUACCAAGUUCCACUCACCAAAAGCGCUACACUCCCCGGCAACAGCGCCAGAAAAGAGUCUUGAUGACCCACAAGUGUAGGGGAUCUAUCGUAGUCCUUUUGAUAAGUAAGAGUGUCGAAUCCAACAAGGAGCAGAAGGAAAUGAUAAGCGGUUUUCAGUAAGGUUUUCUCUGCAAGCACUGAAAUAAUAGGUGAUAGAUAGUUUUGUGAUAAGAUAAAUAGUAAUGAGCAAAAUGUAAAUAAAGUAAAUAAAGUGCAGUAAGGUGGCCCAAUCCUUUAUGUAGCAAAGGAUAAGCCUGGACAAAUUCUAAUAAUGAAGAAGAAGCUCCCGAGGACACAUUGGGAAUUAUCGUCAAGCUAGUUUUCAUCACGUUCAUAAGAUUCGCGUUCGGUACUUUGAUAAUUUGAUAUGUGGGUGGACCGGCACUUGGGUACUUCCCUAACUUGGACAAGCAUCCCACUUAUGAUUAACCCCUAUUGCAAGCAUCCACAACUACAAAAAGGAGUAUUACGGUAAACCUAACCACAACAUUAAACAUAUGGGUCCAUAUCAACCCCUAACGAAGCAACACAUAAACUAGGGUUUAAGCUUCUGUCACUCUAGCAACCCAUCAGCUACUUAUUACUUCCCUAUGCCUUCCUCUAGGCCCAAAUAAUGGUGAAGUGUCAUGUAGUCGACGUUCACAUAACACCACUAGAGGAAAGACAACAUACAUCUCAUCAAAAUAUCGAACGAAUACCAAAUUCACAUGACUACUAAUAGCAAGACUUCACCCAUGUCCUCAGGAACAAAUGUAACUACUCACAAAUCAUAUUCAUGUUCAUAAUCAGAGGAGUAAUAAUAUGCAUAAAGGAUCUGAACAUAUGAUCUUCCACCAAGUAAACCAAGUAGCAUCAACUACAAGGAGUAAUCAACACUACUAGCAACUCACAGGUACCAAUUUGUGGUUUUGAUACAAGAUUGGAUACAAGAGAUGAACUAGGGUUUUGAGAGGAGAUGGUGCUGGUGAAGAUGUUGAUGGAGAUUGACCCCCUCCCGAUGAGAGGAUUGUUGGUGAUGAUUUCUCCCUCCCGGAGGGAAGUGUCCCCGGUAGAACAGCUCCGCCAGAGCCCUAGAUUGAUUCCGCCAAGGUUCCGCCUCGUGGCGGCGGAGUUUAGUCCCGUAAGCUUGCCCACGAUUUUUUCCAGGGUAAGAGUGAUGAUAUAGCAGAAGAUGGAUGCCAGAGGCCCACCAGGGGGCCCAGGAGAUAGGGGGCCGCGCCCUACAGGGGGUGGCGCGCCCCCUAUCUCCUGGAUAGGGUGUGGGCCCCCUGGCCUAUUUCUUUCGCUCAUAAAUUCUUAAUAAAUCCAAAAAGUUGUUUCAUGGAGUUUCAGGACUUUUGGAGUUGUGCAGAAUAGGUUUCGAAUGUUUGCUCCUUUUCCAGCCAGAAUUCCAGCUGCCGGCAUUCCCCCUCUUCAUGGUAAACCUUGUAAAAUAAGAGAGAAUAGCCUUAAGUAUUGAGAUAUAAUGUGUAAUGACAGCCCACAAUGCAAUAAAUAUUGAUAUAAAAGCAUAAUGCAAAAUGGACGUAUCAUGAGUCACCGCCAUAAACUUGGCCAGGGCUGGAUACCCGAGGAUGGCGUUGUACGACAGGCGAAUAUGGGCGACGUCGAAGUCGAUGAGCUCAGUACGGUAGUUCUUGCGCUUUCCGAAGGUGACAGGGAGGUGGACCUGCCCUAUCGGGGUGGUAGAACCAUCAAUGACCCCCGAGAAAGGCUUGGUUGGCUGAAGCUGAUCAUAUGGCACUUGGAGAUUGUUGAAUGUCUCGACAGACAGGACAUUGAGCCUCGUGCCACCAUCGAUGAGGGUCCUGGUGACCUGCACAUUGCUGAUGAUGGGGAACAGAACAUUGGCAGGACUCCAGCUGUUGCUGCGCACUUGAGCUGAUCCGUCGAGCUGAACGUGAUGGCACACAUGGACCACCUGAGAGGGCGCGAGGCCUCGGGCUUUGGGAGGACUGCAUUCACCUCGCGAGCAAACUGCUUGAAGAUGCACUGAGAGGCUGGGGCUUGAGCUCCGCCCAAGAUGCAAGCGAUAGCGCGCGGCUCCUGGAAGCCCCGAGCCCCCUCGUCCUGAUGCUGGUGUUCAUUCCUCCUUGGUGGCAGUGGCAGAGGAGGAAGGCCUGCGUUGCCUUGCGGGCGAUCCUCACGAGGUUGAUCCCUCCAAGCCCCCUCGCGAGGCUGGUCCUGCCAGCGGUCCUCGCGAGGUCGGUCACGCCACCCUUGGCGAGGGCCACGGUCUUCCCAUCGUCCUCCACCUUUUCCUCCUCCUCGGUCAUAGCCCCGAUCGUUGCACUCGGGGCGUCGGCCGACACGUCCUUCUUGUUGGGGAACGUAGCAGAAAUUCAAAUUUUUCUAUGCAUCACCAAGAUCAAUCUAUAGAGAGACUAGCAACAAGAGAGAGGGGAGUGCAUCUUCAUACCCUUGAAGAUUGCGAUGCGGAAUCGUUACAAGAACGCGGUCGGUGGAGUCGUUCAUGAAGCGAUUCAGAUCGCGGCCGAAUCCGAUCUAAGCACCGAACAACGGUGUCUCCGUGUUCAACACACGUACAGCCCGGGGACGUCUCCUCCUUCUUGAUGCAGCAAGGGGAGAGGAGAAGUUGAGGGAAAACUCCAACAACACGACGGCAUGGUGGUGAUGGAGCUCGUGGUUCUCCGGCAGGGCUUCGCCAAGCACUACGGAGGAGGAGGAGGUGUUGUAGGAGGGAGAGGGCUGCGCCAGGGGAAGGGUGCGCCUGCCCUCUCUCUCCCUCACUAUAUAUAGGGGGAAGGGAGGAGGGGGAGGCGCCCUAGGGUUCCCUAGGGGAGGGGCGGCGGCCACAGGGGAAACCCUAGAUGGGUUUGGGCGUCCCCACCCCCUAGGAAACUUGCC